This 56990-nucleotide long non-coding RNA is filed under the name Hordeum vulgare. RNAcentral describes it as "long non-coding RNA (HVUL_LNC003278)". Lineage: Eukaryota; Viridiplantae; Streptophyta; Magnoliopsida; Poales; Poaceae. The record is from RNAcentral.
CUAGAUGGAAUGAAUCACCAUAGAUAGUCGAACCACACUUAAUUUAACACAGUACACGAAACAAAGCAAACGGGACGGGUCGAAGGGGCGCGCUUGCUUGCUUGCUUCCCUACACGAAUGCGGCGGCGGCCGCCGCGGCCCCAGCGGUGCGGAGGAUCUGGUAGUAGACCUGCGGGUUGGCCACAAACGCCGUGCGGGAAAUCAGGAAGCCGGCGGCACCAGGCGCCUUCAUCAUGGCGCCGGCGGCGGCUGGGGCGGCUGCAGCAGGCCAGAGAAAGUAGGCGCCCACGGCGCCCCCGAUGACCAUCGCCGCGGUCCCCACGGCACCGUCGCGCGUGGAGAGCUUUGCAGGCAGGUACGGUUUGGCCAACGAGAUGGUGGAGGCCAUGGCCGCUCCUGUAUGGUUCUUGACGUAGCCGAGACCGGUGACGAUGUCGCCUGUGCUCAUCUCGGUUAGCUUUGCGGGAAGGUACGGCUUGGCCAACGAGACUGUGGAGGCCAUGGCCGCUCCUGUAUGGUUCUUGACGUAGCCGAGACCCGCGACGAUGCCACCCGUGUUCAUCUCGGUUAGCUUUGAGGGGAGGUACGGCUUGGCCAGCGAGACGGUGGAGGCCACGGCGCUCGCCUGUUGCUUGACGAGGUCGAGACCGGAGAAGAGGAGGUCGCGGGUGCUCAUCUCGCCUGGUUUUCCUUUCCGAUUUGUGGUCGUUUGUGUGGACUUAUACCUCACUAAAUGGAUGAGACGACGCAAAGCGUGGAUUUAUAGCGACGAAGGUGAUCUAUACCUAGACAACGACGCGCGACGACCUUGACUACCAACAGUACUAUCGACAGCACUAACAUGUCACCAUAUGAAGAAGAAUCAAAAGAUUACAAAAGAGGCUAUAUAAAAAUCAUUCACCGCUGGUCCCUUUGUACCUACUCGGCUAAAGCACAGGAUGCCCAGGCGUGGUGCGGAAGGCAGUCACCUCGACCAACUCUACUUUCCAUGCCAUGAUAGACUGAUACACCCAUCUAAACAACCAAGUGUACGGAUUAUCUAUAAUUUAUUAAACCAACUCUACCGCACGACCCCAUUUCGUUCGUUCUUAGUUCGUUUAGAUUAAACGGACGAAUAGCUGAACCCGACGUGCAGUCCCAAAUGAACAAAUAUCUGAUUUUCGUCCAUUUUCAUUCUAUUCCGGGCCCAAACAUGCGUCGCGUUUGGAGUAAAACGGACAACGUGCGGACGGGCGGGACACGCGUCCUUGUCCUCCCCAUGGCCCGCCUGUCGGGACACUGGCACUUCAUUCAUUUCCAACGCCUCCAUCCGCCCUCCCCGCCCCACCUCGCCGUCGGAGCCGCCACUAUUUUUUCAGCCGCCUCCUCACUGCUCACCCCCCGGCCGUCCAUACCAAACCAAGUCUCGCCAUGGCCGCCACCACGCCCACGCUUUCGUAGGAAUUUUGGUCGUCUUUUGGAGAAGUUUUGGCCGUCGCCUUCGUAUCUGGUGCCAGAGGGGAUACGACCGCCGGGUGCUCUAUAGCGACCUGUAGCCGGCCGCCAAACGACCCUCCUGCAUCGAGGUGAUUUCCGCAGCCUAUUUGUCACCACGACCGCAAGGUUUCUAACACUUUGCCAACAAAGGUAUGGACAAUGGAGAUGAAUUUUUCUUCAACCACUUCUUUUGUUCAUCGGAUGAUGCGUCCUCGGAUGACGAAGAUCUUGUGGUGGUUGCACCGGUCGUUCACGACCACAUUGAAAGACAGCGGCCUCGCUACAGGCGGUCAGUCCUGGGCCGUGCUCCCAACCUGAACCACAUCAGAGAGAGAGAGGCGACGCCAUGCUCUAUGUCGAUUACUUUGAGAAUACCACACUCUUUGAACCGAAGAAAUUCCAUCGUUGUUUUCGUAUGGCAAGACAUAUGUACAGUCGUAUCCGAGAGAGAGUGAUUCGUCAUGACCCAUUCUUCGAGUGCAAAACGGAUGCCCUUGGCAAGCUUGGAUUCUUCUCUUAUUAGAAAUGCACCGCGGCCAUCCGCAUGCUUGCAUAAGGUAUUCCACGCGAUUUUGUGGAUGAGUACGUGCGCAUGAGUGAGUUCACAUGUCUGAUGUCAAUGUACAACUUCUGCAAUGCCGUGGUGGCAGUGUUUGGCCCUCAAUACUUGAGGCAGCCAAAUGCUGCUGAUACAAAAAGGCUGUUGGUAAUCAACGCCGAUAGAAGCUUUCCAGGCAUGCAUGGCAGCAAAGAUUGUAUGCACUAGGAGUGGAAGAACAGUCUAUUUGCUUGACAGGGCCAGUACAAGGGGCAUGUGAAAGCGUGCACUCUCAUAUUAGAAGUUGUGGCUUGACAAGAUCUUUGGAUAUGACAUUCUUUCUUCAGCAUGGCAGGUUCUCACAAUGAUAUCAACGUGCUGCAGCGUUCUCCAGUCUUCGCAAGGUUUGCACAAGGCCAUUCUCUACCUAGCAACUUUGAGGUCAAUAGCCACCACUACAACAAGGGAUACUACCUAGAUGCUGGUAUAUAUCCUAAGUGGUCAACUUUUGUGGAGACAAUCUCGAAACCCCAAUGUGAUAAGAGACAGAGAUUUUCCCAAAUGCAAGAGAGUGCUAGAAAGGAUGUGGAGCGUGCUUUUGGUGUGCUUCAAUCCCGAUGGGGUAUCGUUCGAAACCCUUCACUGAACAUGGAUGAAGGGAAGCAUUGGAGGUGAUGACUACUUGUGUGAUCAUGCACAACAUGAUCAUCAAGGACGAGCGUGAUAACAACAUCUUCGACCAAGGAUUUGAUUUUUGAGGUGAAAAUGUUGAGCCCCUGCAGCAAGAACCGGCCACAUUUGAACAGUUUACCCAAUUCCAUCGUGAAAUGCGUGAUUGCACACUCAUUUGGAGCUUUAAAAUGACUUCGUUCAGCACAUGUGGAAUCACAUUGGCAACCAAUAGAUGUAUUGGUUUAUUAUGUUUAUUCAAGACAAUUUCAAUUUGGUUGUAAAACCAUUUUAUUCGAGACAAUUUUGAUUGGGUUGUAAAACUAUUUUUAUUUGAAACAAUUAAAAUUUGGACGUGCAAACAUUGAUGAAUAUGAAUAUAUGGGCAUAUUGGUCGUGGCGGACAGGAUGCGACCAAAGGAUGCGUCCGCAUGUUGGGUGCACGGCCACCGCAUCCGAGGAAAGGCUGAGAGACGACCCCAUUGCCCUACCCAAAUGUCCGGGAAAAACGGAUGUCCGUUUGGGGUCGUGCGCUGAAGUUGGCCUUAGGAACAAGAGGUAGGCAGGAAUGAUCAAGCGUACAACACACAUAAGGGCAUCUCCAGCCGCGCCCCAAGAGGCCACUCAUGCCCCUUUUUAGACGCCGUCGUUACAAAAUCCCCCCCAGUCGGGCCCCCAGGACGUCGUUUUCCGCCAGAUGGUCCAUUUUUCGGGCCGGUGAACCCAGGCCGAACCCAGCACGCUGGGGGCACCUAGGUGCUUUGACAGAAGGAAAAGUUGUGUGUAGGACACUACUGUGAGGCGAGAAAUGCCUUUUCGCCGCUAGAUUCGCCCUCGUGCGCCACGGAACACCUCACCGCCAUGUCGAUCCCGACGCCGCCAACGUGCCCUCAGGUGCUGCCGCGCCGAUUGAAAAUGCCAUUUCCCUGCCAUUUUCGCGGUAGCCUCCAUCCUGCUCUCCCUGGGCGAGCUUUUCAAACCGCUCAGGCAGGGAUACCGGCGACUGCCCACCAACUACGCCAUUCAGGUGUUUGGUGAUUAGCCUGCUCGGUAAUGGACUCAAACGACGAUGACACGUUCAUGGCUCUGAUGGAGGAGAAAGCCGAGGACGACACCACCGACGAAGAGCACAUCAUGAUCCUCGCCGCGCUGGCCGGCCUAUUGCGAAUAAUGCCAAGCCGUGGAGUGGUGUCUCGGUGCCGGGGCGCCGCAAGAGCAAACAAAGACAUCACAUGGAGGUCUAUUACAUGCUCUACAUCGACUACUUCGCCGACAGUCCUAUGCAUGGCGAGAAAUUAUUUCCGCGCCAUUAUCGGAUGGACCCGAAGCUCUUCCUCAGGAUUGUGAAUGUCAUCUAUGAGUUCGACAUCUAUUUCAUUUGCAAGAAGGAUUGCACCAGUACGGUUGGAUUAUCCUCGUUCUUGAAGUACACCACGACUAUGAGGAUCCUUGUGUAUGGAUCUCCCGAUGAUAUACAGUAAUACUAAGGAGCAUGGUCGAGUCGACCACCUUUGAGUGUUUGUAGAAGUUUUGUAGGAUAGUGGUGGCAGUGUUUGGACCAUAAAAUUUGCAAUCACCCAAUGCUGAAGACACUGCUCGGAUCCUAGCGUAGAAUGCAGUAAGAGGAUUUCAUGGGAUGCUUGGAAGCAUCGACUGCAUGCAUUGGGCAUGAAAAAACUAUCCAUUAGCUUGGCAGGGGAUGUACGAAGGCACCAAAAGAGGUUGCAGAGUGGUACUUGAGGUAGUGGCCACAUAGGACCUAUGGAUUUGGCACUCCUUUGGUAUGCUAGGAACUCACAAUGACAUCAACAUACUUCAGUCCUCGAAUGUCUUUGCAAAUCUUGUUGAAGGUCAUGCUCGUUCGGUGAACUUCGAGGUCAAUGGGUGCCACUACAACAAGGGAUACUAUCUAGCAGAUGGUAUCUCCGGGAUUGUCCACAUUUGUGAAGAGUAUCUCAAACCUUGUGCGAGGAGGCAAGAAGUCACACUUUGUUAAGUGUCAGGAGGCUUGCAGGAAGGAUGUCCAGCGAGCAUUUGGUGUGCUCCAAUCUCGAUUUACUAUUGUCCAGUACCCCACUCUUACCUGUGAUACGUCUCCGUCGUAUAUAUAUUUUUUGAUUGUUCCAUGCCAAUAUUAUACAACUUUCACAUAUUUUUUGCAACAUUUUAUAUGAUGUAUUGGACUAACAUAUUGAUCCAGUGCCAAGUGUCAGUUCUUGUUUGUUGCAUAUUUUUUGUUUCGGAGAAUAUCCAUAUCAAACAAAGUGCAACGCGAUAAAAUUUUAAAGAGAAUUAUUUUGAACAUGGAAUCAACGUAAAUGGCGGCCCACGACCUCCACUAGACACCAGGGCGUGCUUGGUCCACCUGGCACAGGGUGGUGUCUACUGGGCACCCCUUAAGUUGGUUGGGGCUCUUCUUAGGGUACAAGAAAUAUAAUUUAUUGAUAAAAGUCCCUCCAAAAUUUCGGCACAACCGGAGUUACGGAUCUUCGAGAAUUUAUGAAACGGUGAAGGACCAUAAAACAGGAACAUGCAACAGAAGAGAACAUAGAGGGAGAUGCAAUCUCGGAGGGGCUCCUUCGCCUCCGCCGCCAUGGAGGCCGUGGACCAGAGGGGGAACUCUCCUCCCAUCUAAGUGGAGGCCAAGGAAGAAGAACAAGGAGGGAGGCUGUCCCCCCUCUCUCCCGGUGGCACCGGAGUGCCGUCGGGGCAAGGAGCGUGACGGAGAUUGACACGUCUCAAACGUACAGACUUUUACAAACACUUUUGCUAUUGUUUUGGCCUCAUUCAUGCAUGAUUUUAAUGAAACUAACCUGAACUGACGCUGUUUUCAGUAGAGCUGCCUAUAUGGUUUUCUUGUGUGCAGGAAAAUGGAUGUUUAGGCGCCCCGGAAAAUUCCAAUAAAAAAUAGAUAAAUCCACGAACCGGGAGGAACCCUGGGUCAGAAGAUGGGCGAGAGGGGGGCCACCAUGCCUCCAGGCGACCUUUGGGCGCGGCCUGCCCCCUGGCCGCGUUGGGAGGCCGCCUGGUGGGGUCCACCUCCUCUGAUGCCCUACUUUGUCUUCUAUUUUUUUCCUGAUGGAGAAAUCCCAGAAGAGAAGUCGUUUUGCAAGUUCUCGACGCGGAGCCGCCGCCACCCUCAGUUCUUUUUCGGGAGAGCUAAUCUAGAGGCUGCCUUGGCCUCCGGAGAGGGGAAAUCGUCGCCAUCAUCAUCACCAUCUUCACUCCAUCACCCUUCCAUGGAUUCCCCCAUCAUGUAUGAGUAAUUCCAUGUUGUAGGUGAAGUGGACGGCAGGAAUUGGAUGAGUUAGAUCAUGUAAUAGUUCGUCGGAUUGUUGGGGGCAUGUUGCCAAUCAUCUACCAUGGUGUUUAUCAUCUUUUCUACUACUUGUUACUCUUAAUGCUUGUCACUUCGGGACCGAGUGCCAUGAUUUCAGAUCUGAAUAUCUUAUGUUUUCAUGAAUAUAUUUGUGUUCUCGAUCCUAUCUAUGAGUAGUAUGCACCUAUUAUAGUCCGGAACAGGCAAUCCCAACGGUGACAUCUUGGGACAAAAAAAGGGAUAGACUAUGAUUUGAGGAUUCCAUGUAUCCAUUGAUUGUUAAUGCUUUGUUCCGGUGCUCUUUGACAGGAGCACCUUAAUCUCCAUAAGUUCCUUUUGGCCCCAUUGGUAGCGGGAUGAUAGGAAAAAACAUGUUGUGCAAGUUCUUAUUGCAAGCACGCACGACUACCUUGGGAUACAUGCCUAAUGAUUGAUAUUUUCCUAGAUGAUCAUUCCUUCUCUAUGUGCCUUGCCCCAUGUUAAAUACAUGAUAUCUCUCAUCCAUGACCAACCAACCAUCUCCGUAGCCUACAUGGUUUUAAUCCCGCUAGUCACUAGUUGCUCUACUUUAGCUGUUUUACUUUUGUUGCUUUGCCACCAUUAUCUCCGUUGCCACAAUCACUUUCAUAUCACCGUUACUACUAAUAUUUCGUUGCCAAGCAAGUAUCUUUCAGGUGCGGUUGAACUGACAACUCAACUAUUAAAGCUUAUAAAUAUUCUUUGGCUCCCCUUGUGUCGAAUCAAUAAAUUGGGUUAACUUACCCGCGAAGACUGUUGCGAUCCACUACACUUGUGGGUUAUUAAGACUAUUUUCUGGCAUCGUUGCGAGGGAGCAUAUAUUUAUUUACAAGUCUACUUGGAGUUAUUUUGCUUGCUGCGAUUUAUCCACUAUGGGUAAGAAAGGAGACCCCAAGGUUCCAAUCUUACCAUCUACUACACGAAAAGGUAAUGUUCUUAGCACCAGAGCCAUGCUUGAUUCACCUUCCGUUAUGAGUAAGUUUGCUUCACCACCACCACAUCCUGCUUCUACCUAGUUCGUCACUAUGCCUGAUACUUUUGAUGAUGCUUCUACUACUAUUGAUGAGACUGGUUUACUUGGUUAUUUUAUUGAGUCUCAGAUUGCUAAGGCUGCAAAGCAGUCUAGGGUUGAAAUUCCUGUUACAUUCUACCCCAUUGGUGUAUCCUUUGGUUACCCAGACUUGAGUGGUCUCAGGGAAAGAAUUCUUGAUGAUGAUUAUAUUGAACUUGAUGAUGAUUUAUGCAUGGAGCUUACAGAGUGUGCUAACUCUAACCCUGCUUCUGUUAAGAAGCUGCUUGAAAAGCAUUCUAUGAAGAAAAAUUUACUCCCAAUCCUAAAUUUGCUUAAUCUCCUAUUUGCAUUGAGGAUGCUGAUUUUAAUUUCUCUGACUAUCUUUCACGUAUAUCCACAGUUGAAGUUGACCCUUUUUAUGGCAGAGAAAAGGACGAUGCUAUUGCACACCUUACCAAAUUCACUGAGUUGGGUGGCUUAUCCACUAAGAGGACAAGAAGAGAAAUUAUCAUGUUACUAAGCUACUUCCUUUCUCAUUGAAGGAAGAUGCUAAAGCAUGGUAUGAUGCACUACCAUGUGGUUACAUUAAGAGUCCUCAAGAUUUAGCUCAAUCUUUUGUUGCUAAAUAUUUUCCUGCUCAUAAGCAACAUGCUUCUUUACAAAGAAUAUAUAACUUUACACAGUUGUAGGAUGAGCACCUCCCUAAAGCUUGGGGGAGGUAUUGCACUUUACUCAAGGCUAUACCGAGACAUGGAGUCCCUAACAAUGAAUUGCUUGAUAUAUUUUAUGCUGGUCUAAUCGAUGAAUCUAGAACCUAUCUGGAUUGUUGUGUUGGCUGUGUUUUCAGGGAAAGAACACCGAACGAUGCUGAAGAACUAAUGGGCAAGAUAGCUAAAAAUCAUGAUGACUAGUCUGUUCCUGAACCACCUCCACCACCCAAGAAGAGGGGCAUGCUUUUCUUGAGCCCUGAAGCUAUGAAAGAAGCUAAGCAGUCUAUUAAUGAGAAAUGUAUUAAAGCUGAAGAUGUGAAUAAUCUACCUCCUAUUGAGAAAUUAUGUGAGCCUACCACUCACCCACCUAUGGUAGAGGUACACUCUCUUUUAGAAUUCAAUGCAAGUGACAUCCCUCAUGGUAAGACCCCUGAUCAAUGCUUAGAUGAGCUUGAUAAUUUCAUUGUCAAGCAAAAUCACUUUAAUGAUAGGAUUCAAAGAUAGUUGCAUGAUAAGUCCCUUGCUAUCAAGAGUUUGCUUGAUGUUUUAAGUAGAACUAUGAAUGAUGUUAAAGGUCUUGUUAAGCAUUUUCAUAUGGUUCAAACUCAGCUUGAACAAAUUUCUAAUGUGCAAAAAGAUUUGCUUGCUAACAAUGCCAAACAAGUUGAUACACACGCAUAUGGUAUAAAGACCCGAGGUGGUACACACACCUAGGACCCCCUCUAUCCGGAGGGGCAUCCAAAGAGGGUCGAGAAAGAUUCUCAAUUGCAGGAAGAAGACGUUGUCAGCUCCCCGAAGAAGAAGAAUAAACACAAGGAAGCUGACAACUCCAAUGAUCCCAUAAUUGAUGAAGAACCUAUUGUUGAUCCUAAUAGUAUAUCUAUUUCCGAUGCUGAAACUGUAGAUGGUGUUGAACCUGAUAAACAUAAUGAGAAGAAUGAUCCUCCUGAGGUACAAGAAGAAGAAGCACCCGACAGGCACAAGAGGUAUACUAGAGAAGACUUUGUUGCAAGAAGACAUGGGACGGAAAGAGAACCAUGGGUACAGAAAUUAAUGCCCUUCCCAGGUAAGUCUUUCAAAACCAAAGAAGAAGAGCAUUACAAUAAAUUUUGUGAAUGGAUGAAACCUCUUUUUCUUCAAAUUCCUUUGACUGAUGCUAUUAAGUUGCCUCUGUACUCGAGGUAUAUGAAAGAUAUUGUUACUAAGGAAAGAAGAGUUCUUAAUGAGGCAAUAUCUACUAUGCUUUCUAAUUACUCUUUUAGUCGUAAGAUUCCUGAGAAGCUUCGUGAUCCAGGUAUAUCCACCAUUCCUUGCCCAUAAAAAAUAAUUAUGUCAGAACUGGUUUAUGUGAUCUUGGUGCAGGAGUGAGUGUUAUGCCUUUCUAUCUUUACAAAAGGCUUUGUUUAGAUAAACUAAUCCCUAUAGAUAUCUCUCUUCAAAUGGAUGAUAAGUCAACGGCCGUUCCUGUUGGUAUUUGUGAGGAUGUUCCUGCUGAAGUUGCUAAUUGCUUGAUACUUGGUAACUUUGUUGUGCUGGACAUUCCCGAGGAUGGGAGCAUGUCUAUUAUUCUUGGUAGACCUUUUCUUAACACCGCAGGUGCUAUUAUUGAUUGCAAUAAAGGAAAGGUGACUUUCAAUGUUAAUGAGAAGGAGCACACGAUAUAUUUUCUGAAGAAGAUUGAUAAAAGGCAUGGCAUUAAUUCUAUUGAGAAUAUUGAGUCCGUGAAGGUUGGAGCGUGGGAUUGUCCUCUACAUGUCCACCACAAAUAUCAAAUCAUUAUGGUGGGAACAAUAUCCAUUAAAAUAAAGGUACCAUGAUUGCUUUAUAAGAAGUGAAUUUUUUUUCGCUCGAUAUAUCACCUGUUUGGUAGUAAGACUUGAUCAACCUUGCUAACAAAUAUGUUUUAUAUGAGUAAAAAGAGAAGCUUUUUAUGUUUUCAUUUCUUUUAUCUUUCAUCCUCCUUGUUGUACCAAAGUUUUAUGUUUUUUAAGCUUCAUAUGUUUAACCAUUGUUUCGAGCUUUCCGAAAGUUUUGCAGCUUUCGGUACUUCGAAAAUUUUCAAAAGUGAAGUUGUUAGAAAAAUUCCAGAAAAAUUAUAAUAAGAAUUUCCAUCGAAAAAGAGACGCAGGGGCACGUGAAGCCAACCAGGGGGGCCCCCUUGUCCAGGCGGCCAGGUGGCACGUCCUGGCCCCUGGUCGCGCCCAGAGGUCGCUUGGGCCCACCUGGUCCCCUUUCGUGGUACUUCUUCCUCCCUUCUCUCUCUCAGACACCAAAAAUCCCGAUUUUUCUCGUGGAGCUCGAGUUCUUGCUGUUCUUGGUGGAAAAUUUCGACCUCUCCCUACAACCCAUCAUUUUCAUUGAGAAAUUGAGAAUUUGCUCCUUGGUAUGUGACUCCUCCACUCCUCCAAUUAGAAUUUUGAUUGGUGGUCUUAUUUGUGAGUAUUUAGGAGUUCUUGGUGCUGUUCAUAUGAUCUUGCAUGCAUGUUUAGGAAUUUAUUUAUGAAGUUUUGAUGUAAGCUUAUGCAUCGGGGAAGUGAGUAGAAUAGUUUGCUCCAACUCAUUUUUGCUUAAACCUUCGUUUUUGUCAUGCAUCAAAAAUUUCAGAAAUGAGUUUGUUUGGAAAAGCAUAAGGAUGGCUUGGGAAGAAGAGACCCGAGCCUACCGAUAGACUAACCAGAGCUGCAUCUUCACCUUCUACUGUGAGGACCAGUUAUAAUAAUGAUAUAGUGCCACCGAAGUUGCUCCACGAGACGGACACAACACAUGCCAUGGCAUACCCAUGUUCAGAUUUCCUUACGGUGGCAGGUAUUAAGGAUGAGUUUGAUAACCUCUGUGCAGCUGCAGGGUUGACACGUCUCGUAACACAACUUGUGCAACAAUAUCCAAAACUCACCUAUUAUUUUGUCAACUGGUUUAGAUAUAAUGAUCAAACUUCCAUGAGUGAAUUUUGAUUAUAUGAGGAUGUCGUUACCAUGUCUUUGGCAGAAUUUUGUGACAUUAUAGGUGUGCGGAAUGUCGGGAAGACGACCAAAAUGGAAGUUCAGCCCUAUGAGCUGAAAUGCCUAUUCGCUUCCCUUUCAGCAAGGAUCCGCGAGACAUUCACCGGGGGAAGAUCUCUAGCAUAUUAUUUCCCCACAUCAGGUAUUUCGCAUACUAUAUUUCUCAAGGGGUGUUAGCUCGUGACAACACGAGAAACAUUUCGGCUUUGGAUAUCGCUAUCUUGGUAGCCGCCCUCUUAGGAGAUAACACGUAUAAUAUUGGUGCUUUGAUUGCUUGUCGCCCCGUCCCUAACAGCGGCAAAGGGCCUCACUUUGGUGGCAUUUAUGCCACGCUUAUCCUCGAGCACCUCGGGUGCACUGUAUGCAUGGAUGAUACGCCUUUUUCAUUCAUAAGAUUUGAUCUUGCCGCUAUGAAGAGGCAUGAGUUUGUUACUAGGAAUUUUGAGUUUGGUAACCUUGUUUAUAUUAUGAGGUUUGGCGAGUUUACUACUCGCGAGAUCCGUCUACAUGCACCACUUUUGUUUGAUUAGACUAGAAGGAAUUGAUGGUCCUUCACCUCGGUUGAGCUGGACGAGUUCGUGAUCCAGCAAUAGUCCGACAACCCCAUGGAGGGGGUUGUUCCGAGGAAGAACAGGCUUCUUCUUGGGAGGACUGUCGAGCAUCAGUUUACACACCCGAGGCUUCGUAUGAUUCUUGGAGCUACCCGUACCACUCCGGAGCCGGAGGAAGCUCCUGGAGCCCGCAGUAGCCAAGCCCAACUUAGGCCAAAAGCUUAAACUUGGGGGAGUACGCACCCUUAUCCCCUUUCAUUGUAUCAUCCAUGGUUUCCUUUUUAAUCUUUUCAGAGUUUUUUCCUAUUCUUCUUUGUUCUUUCUUUGCAAAAACAACAAAAAGAUUCCUCUUUUCUUUUGCUUUUGUUUAACCUUUGGAAUACCCAAAAAGAUUUCUUUUCUCUCUUUGGUUUGCUUCCCUUUGCAGAGUUCAGCUCAAGUCCAUGGUUGCAAUUGCACUUAAUUAUAUGUUUCUAUGUUCGAUCGUGUAAGUGAUGAUGCAAUAAUGACGAAGAUAGACGGAAGGGAUGCAACAAGGAAAGCCGGUAUGAACUCUAUUUGUUUCUCCUUUUGUACAUAUGCCUAUACUUAUGAUCUAGAGACCAGCUUGUAGCGAUAUAGUGCUAUGUUUACAAUGCUUUCCCAGAAGUUAAUGCUUUCUUUGUGACUUGUUUCAAAUAGCUGGAGUGCAUAAUGUGUUAUUGAAAUGACUUGCAUGCAUUGCAUUGUUCAUGGUUUGGCAUAUUGGAGUGGUAUUUCCCUUUGGAGAGUUUUUGGAUUGACAUGGCACAUGCUUACACAUGUUUAUGACUAGAAGUCUAUCAAGCCAUGAUGAUCUUUUUAUUUAAGAAUAAUUAUAUCACUUUCAUGCACGAUUCAAUGUUGCUUUGUCGCUCUGCAUGAUUAUGUCCGUUAUUGCUCUCUAGUUGGUCUCUUCCCCGUCCUUUGCUAGCCUUCGCCUGUACUAAGCGGACUGACUACUUGUGCAUCCAAAAUCCUUGAAACCAGGUGCGCCAUAUGAGUCCACGAUUCCUACCUAUAUGCGGUAUUUAUGUGCCAUCCUAAGUAAAUUUGCAUGUGUCGUAUUCUAAAUCUUCAAAUAAAUAUUUUGUUUUGUAUGGCCGAAUCACUCAUGUAGCGACUAGGGGUCAUCAAUAUCUUCCAUGCUAAGUGGGUUAUUCUCAAGAUAUGUGUUGAUUCAUUAUCAUACACGAGAAAGUGGUUGGUAACCCGGAUGCCGAGUUCCAUGCUCAAAGUCAAAUCAAAGUUAAUGAAAAAAAAACUCCCCCCAGGAUUGUUGUUUGUAUGGACGGUACCCGCGGAUUCUGCCCGCCGUGGAAUGUGAUCGAUUGGUGGACGGGUAGUAAAAUAUUUACUAUUCUGUUUGGGAACCGCCUAUAAUGUAUUUAGCAUGGAAGAUAUUGAGAUCUCUUAGUUGUUAUGUUGACAAUGAAAGCAUGCCACCCAAAAUUUUGAUUCAUUUCUGUUUCAAAAGCUCAAGUUCUGGCAUCUCUACAAAACAAUGCUUCCCUCUGCGAAGGGCCUAUCUAUUUUACUUUACUGUUGAGUCAUCCUCUUCUUAUAAAAAAGGCACCAACUAUAGAGAGCAUAAUUGUCAUUCUGAGUGUAAUGUGCAUUUCCCCAAAGCACUACAUUGUCUUCUGCAUGAUUGUGAUAUUACUCAUUCUGAAAUAUUUAUUUCUAGUCUCCUUUAAGACUCCGAAGGAGCGUCUGCAUUGAUGUUUUGCUUCACUCUUGGGGGCUAGUGAGAUACCACUCUAGUAUGUCCGAGUCAUGUGUGUUGUGUUCUCGUCAUGAUUUUCGGUUGCAUAUUAUUCAUUCUUAGUUGUUUGAAACUGUUCACAUGAUCGGAGGAUUGCUUCGUGCAUUGUCUUUGUAGCAUUGCUUCAAUACUUGUUGGACUUGUUCGUAGUGCAUGCUUAUAUACUUCUGAUGAAGCAAAAGUGUUUGUCAAAGUUCUCUUUGUCGUGUCCAGUUUGUUGAACUGAAUUGCUUGAGGACAAGCAAUAUGCUAAACUUGGGGGAGUUGAUACGUCUCAAAUGUAUCGACUCUUCCAAACACUUUUGCUAUUGUUUUGGCCUCAUUCUCGCAUGAUUGGAAUGAAACUAACCCAGACUGACGCUAUUUUCAGCAGAGCUGCAUGUAUGGUUUUCUUGUGUGUAGGAAAAUGGAUAUUUAGGCGUCCCAGAAAAUUCCAAUAAAAAUAGAGAAAAUCCACGCACCGGGAGGAACCCUGGGCCAGAAUAUGGGCUAGAUGGGGGCCACCACGCCUCCAGGCGACCUGUGGGCGCGGCCUGCCCCCUAGCCGUGUUGGGAGGCCGCCUGGGUGGGGUCCAACUCCUCUGGUGCCCUACUUUGGCUCCUAUUUUUACCCGUGACGGAGAAAUCCCAGAAGAUAAGUCGUGUUGCAAGUUCUCGACACGGAGCCGCUACCACCCUCGGAUCUUCUCCGAGGAGCUAAUCUGGAGGCUGCCUUGGCCUCCGGAGAGGGGAAAUCAUCGCCAUCGUCAUCACCAUCACCACUCCAUCACCCUUCCACGGCUUCCCCUAUCAUGUGUGAUUAAUUCCCUGCUAUAGGUGAAAGGGAUGGUAGGGAUUGGAUGAGUUAGAUCAUGUAAUAGUUCGUCGGAUUGUUGGGGGCAUGUUGCCUAUCAUCUACUAUGGUACUUAUCAUCUUUGCUACUACUUGUUACUCUUAAUACUUGUCACUUUGGGCCCGAGUUCCAUGAUUUCAUAUAUGUAUACCUUAUGUUUUCAUGAAUAUAUUUGUGUUCUUGAUCUUAUCUAUGAGUAGUAUGCACCUAUUAUUGUCCGGAAUCGGCGAUCCCAAUGGUGACAACUUGGGACACCAAAGGGGAUAGACUAUUAUUUUAGGAUUCCAUGUAUCUAUUGAUUGUUAAUGCUUUGUUCCGGUGCUCUUUGACAGGAGCACCUUAAUCUCCAUAAGUUCCUUUUGGCCCCGUUGGUAGCGGGAUGAUAGGAUAAAAGAUGUUGUGCAAGUUCUUAUUGCAAGCACACACGACUACCUUGGGAUACAUGCCUAAUGUUUCAUAUUUGCCUAGAUGAUCAUUACUUUUCUAUGUGCCUUGCCCCAAGUUAAAUACAUGAUAUCUCUCAUCCAUGACCAACCAUCCAUCUCCCUAGCCUAUAGUGUUUUAAUCCUGCUAGUCUCCAGUUGCUCUACUUAAUAUGUUUUACUUUUCUUGCUUUGCCACCACUAUCUCUGUUGCCACUAUCACUUUCAUAUCACCGUUGCUACUAAUAUUUCAUUGCCAAGCAAGUAUCUUUCAGGUGCAGUUGAAUUGAAAACUCAACUGUUAAACCUUAUAUUUAUUUUUUGGCUCCCCUUGUGUCGAAUCAAUAAAUUGGGUUAACUUACCCGCGAAGACUAAUGCGAUCCCCUACACUUGUGGGUUAUCAGCGACCUACAUCAACAAUCUUGCCACCAUCAACGCCAACUCUCUGCCCCUCUAUGAAGCGGUGUAACACCUAUUUUCCCGCCGUAACUCUCUACUUAAACAUGGUGCUCAACACUACAUACUAUUUCCAAAUGAUAUGUGGUUAUCCUAUGAUGUUUGAGUAGAUCCAUUUUGUCCUACGGGUUAAGUGUGAUAUGAUGUUAUUGAUAUCAUUUGCGUGUUGAUAUCAUGCUCUCCUAAGGUAAUUUUUUUCCGUGAUGCGCACACAUGAAGGAUACAUGUUGGAGGGUAUCCAAUAUGUUCAUGAUUCGCUUAUAGUGGGUGGCGAGGGUGACAGAAACUUACACCCGAGCAAGGGAGUUGUGCGCAUAUGGGAGUAAGCACGACUUAAUGUUUAAGGCUAUGGGGUUUACCUUAAUGAUUUCUAGUAGUAGCGGAUGCUUGCUAGAGGUCCGGUCAUAAGUGCAUAUGAUCCAAGUAAGGAAAGUGUGUUAGCAUAUGCCUCUCCCUCAUUGAACAAAAUAAGUAUCUAUCAUGUUAUAUUCAAUUGCAUAUGGAAAAUCGUUCUCUUGUGUUACACAAAAAGCUUUCUACUAAAUAUCCUCUUACUUUUAUUUACUUUCUCUUUAUUUUUCCGCAAAAUAGUUUCAUACUUGUUCUAGGUAAAGUAAGCGUUUGUGCGUGUAGAGUUGUAUCGAUGGUUGAUAGAACUUGAGAGAAUAUUAAUUCUGCCUUUAGCUCCUCAUUGGGUUCGACACUCUCACUUAUCGAAAAAGGCUACAAACGAUCCCCUACACUUGUGGGUUAUCAACCUGGUCAAAAUCUCAGAUGUGGUAGGUGAUCAAUUGUUGUGUCAUCUUGCACAACAUGAUCAUUGAGAGCGAGUAGGAGGAGCGAGUGUUUGACACUGAACCAUAUUUUAGGAACGGUCCUCUUGCAGUUGUUGACCACCAAGUACCGGCAACAUGGGUUGCCUUCCUCAAUAUGCGCCAGGAGAUCCGAGACCCACAGGUGCAUCAAGAACUGCAGGACGAUCUCGUGGAGCACCUAUGGAGGCUCAGGGCAACACCUAGUUCGAUUUGUUUUAAUUUGUGUUUGAAUUAUGAGCUUUCUUCGUUGAACCAUUUGAUUUGUAUUGAUUUAUUUGAAGAACUUUGUUAUAAAAUUUAAUUUUAUGAAUUUGUGCCUAAAGUGAUCCAAAUUUGUACUUAAAUUGGGGUGAAAGUGUCGGCCGGGGGCACCCUUUGGGGGUCGCGUGGGAACCCGAGCCCCCCGCCACCUCUCGCCGAAUUUAGCACCACUUCGCCCCCAACCUGCGCUAUUUUAGGCCCUUGGGGGGACGAACGGCUGGAGAUGCUCUAAGAAUCUGGAGCACAACACAGAAGAGAACUUGUGGCAUGCACCGACGGGAUCAACCUAUUUUUUUAGCUUUUAUUUUUUCAGUUUUUCAUAUAUUUUGAACCAAAAGUUUAAACUAAGUCUUGUUUUAUAUUCGUAUUUCUUGUGACGAGGACUUCCAAAUAAGACCAAUUUUAAAUACAUUUUGACGAUCUUUUUUUAGUUUCAGCUGUUGACACUUGAUACAAAGAACGAUAAAAUUCGUUAGUUUUUGGAACUUAAACUUAAAACUUGAUGUGACCUCAUGUAAAAUUCAAUGACUUUAUGAGGCAAUCAAACGACCGAGCAAGAAUGCGCAGGUGCUAACCCCUAAGAAUUUUCGAGCACAACAUAGACAAAAGUAUUAAUGUUACUACGGUAUUAUGUUCGUGUGUGGCAUACCUUCUGUUUAAACUAGUUUAAGUAGAAUUUUAUUGCUUUUCUGAGGUGAACUUAACUGUAAUAUAGAAGGAACUAAUUGUUUAAAGAUGUGAUGACUUGUUAAGAAUAUUUUAGACUCCUUUAAAAAAGGCAUGCCAUAUUGUUUUUGGAGGAUUUAGGGAAGAUACUUGUUGGUCCAGCUUCACCAGCUCGGCGCAUGAAGUGGUGCCAAACGGCCUAGCUCCGUACAUCCAGCAUUGCGAGGACAAGCCCCCCCCCCCAGCAGUGUAAAACCGGGAAAAUAGUUAAGCCGAGCUCCGAGAAGCUGAAAUAGCAGAGGUCCCCAAAUUUACACCGAAAAUGUGAGUGAUAAGUGAAGCUUACCAAUUCUAAACAGGUGAUUUCUCUUCCCCGAGCUCUUCCCCUCCCUUACCGUUGGUUCAUACACCACGCUGGCCGAUCGUCCGCCGUGAGAGGUCCUCUGCAAUCCCCACUUUAUUGUUGGAAAUAUGCCCUAGAGGCAAUAAUAUUUUAUUACUAUAUUUCCAUAUUGAUGACUAAGAGUUUAUAUUCUAUAUUAUAACUGUUAUGGUUCUGGAAUAUGUGUUUUAGUGAAAAACUGAUAUGCACGUAUGGAAUGAUAAACGGUUAAAUAAUGGUUCCUAGUCUCUAAUAACCCACAAGUAUAGGGGAUCAAUUGUAGUCUUUCUCGAUAAGUAAGAGUGUCGAAACCAACGACGAGCUAAAGGUAGAACAAGUAUUCCCUCAAGUUCUAUCGACCACUAAUACAACUCUACGCACGCUUAAUGUCCUCUUUACCUAGAACAAGUAUGAAACUAGAAAUCCAUUGUAGGUGUGAUAGGAUAGGUUUCUAAGAUAAUAAAGAACACAUAAAUAAAAACUAGGGGCUGCUAAGAUAAAGAAACAACUAAGCUGGUCUUAGUAGAGAUCUUUUUGUAAUAAGAAGGUUUAUUUGUUCCUAGGCAAUCGUUAACUAGACCGAUAAUCAUUAUUGCAAUUUUAUAUGAUGGAGAGGCAUAAGCUAACAUACUUUCUCUACUUGGAUCGUAUGCACUUAUGAUUGGAACUCUAGCAAUCAUCCGUAACUAGUAAAGAUCAUUAAGGUAAAACCCAACCAUCGCAUUAUAAGGUAUCGAGUCCUCUUUAUUCCCAUACGUAAAUAACCUACUAAUUUAGGUCUCUGCUUCUAUCACUCAUGCCACCUACGAUAAGCGAAUCAUAAACAUAUUGCAAACCCUACAGCAGGGAUCCCUCACGCUUGCACGACACAGAGAGCACCAUAGGACAACACCAAUAAUAAAACAUGUAACUCAAACCAAUCAUGAUCAUCAAUCAACCCAUAAGACAAAAUGAAUCUACUCAAACAUCAUAGGAUAGCGAUACAUCAUUGGGAAAUAAUUUAUAGCAUUGAGCAUCAUGUUUAAGUAGAGAUUACAGCAGGGAGAAGGGGUGUUACACCAUUGCAUAGAAGGGGGAGAUAGUUGGUGAUGACGACGGAGAAGUUGUUGGUGUAGAUCCUCGUCACGAUGAUGGCCCCGACGGUGUUCCGGUGCCACUAGGAGAGAGGGGGAGAGAGACCCCCUACUUCUUAUUCUUCCUUGGCCCCCCUAGAUGGGAGGAGGGUUUCCCUUCUGGUCCUUGUCCUCCAUGGCAGCGGAGGGGCGAGAGCCCCUCCAAGAUUGGAUCUCUCUCUCUCGCUCUUUCUAUUUCUGCGUUGCCAGAUUUUGUCCUUCCACCGUUUCUUAUAUUCCCGGAGAUCCAUAACUCCGAUUGGGAUGAAAUUUUAACACGAUAUUUAUUUGGAAAUUAGCUUUCUUGCGAUGAUAGAAGGGCACAAACUGCCUUACGGGGUGGACACAAGCCUGCCCGACGCAACCUACCACCCAGGUCGUGCCCCUAUGGCUUGUGGCCCCCUUGGGCACCGCCUUUUGUUGAUUGCACUUCCCAAAAUUCACAAAUAUUCCAAAAAAUCUCCGUAAGUUUUUAUCUCGUUUGGACUUUGCUUGAUAUGGAGUUUCUACGAAACAAAAACAUGCAACAAACAGGAACUGUACUGGGCACUGGAUCAGUAUGUUAGUCCCAAAAAUAGUAUAAAAAGUUGCCAAAAGUAUAUGAAAGUUGUAGAAUAUUGGCCUGAAACAAUCAAAAAUUAUAGAUACGAUGGAGACGUAUCAAUCUCGCCUCUAAGACUAGCUCAAUGUUGUUGCUUUUAAAGGUGCUUAUGAAAUUGCUUCUUUUCUUGAAAAGUAUGAUGAUGUUCCUUACAAAUCUAAUUUUUUUCCAUACUUCAAUAUUGCUACAAUAAUUAUGAAUACAAUGCUGAUAUUAAUGAAUUUAUUGAAAAAAAGAUGGAUGCCUUGGAAGAGACUAAUAUUUUCUAGGAGUCUAUGGAAGAAGAAAUUGAUGAUACUGUGAGCUCAGUGGAUGAAAAAGAUGAUGAGGAGAUUCAAGAACAAAACGAGGAAGAGCGGAUUAGCUACCCGUGCCUACCUUAUAAUAAAAGUAACUUUUCAACUCAUACAUUGUUUAAUUUCCCUUUCACAUACCAAAGGAAGAAUGCUAUGAUGAUUGCUAUGAUCCCUUGGAUUCAUUUGAAAUAUCCCUUUUUAAUGAACUUGAUGCUUUCUAUGAUUGUGGCCAUGAUGCCAAUAUGAAUUAUGCUUAUGAAAUAGGGCCGGCUUUGAGGGGGGGCAGGGGGUGGCCGCCCCAGGCCCCCAAAAUUCAGGGCCCCCACCUGGGUAAGUAGGCAACCCAUACACACACCUAUGGCAGCCCAGCCAGCCCGUCGAAACUACACAUUGCCCAUGAGUUGGGCACGCAGCGGCUCAUUUAAUCGUUAGGCUGUCACGCAGUUCCAUGACUCCUCGUCCGCUAUCUCACAGUUAUAGCCUCGUACGCACAAAUCUCUGUUUUGGUUUCCUAAUUUACAUCUCAGAUCAAAGCACGAGUUCAUCUCUUUGUGACGCCAUCAUGCCCUAUUCAUGUCUGUUCGGCGGUUGUCAUUUCACAAGCGUCGCUCUCCGAUCUCCACUCCACGUGGCUGUCCAUACCUCCUCAUGGCCUCAUCGUCGAGCAAACACGCAUUGACACACACGCCACUCUACAUUGAGUCAUGGCUGAGCGCUUAGUCAGGAGAUCACCUACAAGUCCCUCAUAAAAAAAGGCGAUCACCAACAAGAAUAUGACCCAUCCGACGCACCUAUAUGUACAUGGCUAAGUAAGUAAUUGACCUUCGUAUGAUGCAUAUAUUUCGCCGUUUAACUUUUGAUGCCAUUUUUUCUGCAUUGUAUGUAUACAUUAUUUCAUUUGAAAAUAUUUUUUGGGUUGAUUUAAAUGUUUAUCAGUAACAUCUUAUAUAUUUGAAUUCUAUAUGUUUACAUAGAGUCAUUCAUAAUGGAUUGAUUGGAUAUUUUUACGGAUAAGUAUAUAUCAGAGAUGUGUUCUUUAUGAGUUGAACUUCAUAAUCACUAAGAUUUAAUUGAGUUUUUCUAGUACGUACCUUUGUAAGUCCACACUAGUUUUGAAUUAAUCAAUAUAUUUUUAAAAUUUAUCACAUUUAGGUCAUCCAAGUACGUAUUCAAAAAAAAUUAGUUUUUUUAUUAAGGUAGUAUUGGUAAGUUAUCUUAUAUGGAACUGUUUCAGAACAUUUUAAGUGUUUCUUGGUAACAUUAUAUAUAUAUAUACAUACAUCGAUUAUUAUUAUUGGUAUUUAUAUUAUAGGCCCCAGGUUAAAGUUUUCCCCGAGCCCCCGAGAUCUCAGGACCGGCCCUUCUAUGAAGAUGAAUCUGUUGUAGUUCCUUAUGUUAGGCAUGCAAUUUUUAAUAUUGCACCCACACAUGAUAGUCCUUUAUAUUUUUGAAUUCUACCAACUACACUAUAUAAGAGAAGUUUGCACUUAUUAAGGAUUAUAUUGAUGGGUUGCGUUUUACCACUUCACAUGAUGAUUUUGAUGGAUAUAAUAUUCAUGUGCUUGCUGCUCAUACUUGCAAUUGUUAUGAUAGAGGAACUACAUCUCCACCCCCUUAUGUUUCCAACAUGAGAAAAUUGCAAGAAACUGCUUAUGGUAUGUAUUGGCCUUUACCUGAUGUGCAUGAAUUGUUCUUUUAUGACAUGUCGAUGCAUAGGAAGAGAGUUAGACUUCAUCAUUGCAUGAUAUAUAUUGCUUUGUGCUCGCUACUAAAUUACAAAUCAUUGUUAAUUAAAAUUAGCUUUGAUAUACCUUGGGAUCCUGGUGGACCGAUUACUUGAGCAUUUUAUGCCUAGCUUAAUGGAUUUAAAGAAAGAGCUGCUAGGGAGACAACCCGAAGGUUUUAGAGAGCCAUUUAUUUAUGUUUUGUUCUUUUGAAAUAUUUAAAAACGAAACAAAAAAUAAAGUGGGGAACUUAAAACUUUUCAAAAAGAAAAGUGAAAGUGAGAAGGACGAGCAUCGUUGAUGUGGGUGCUAGACUUGAACUUUGUUCAUGCCCAUGGAUAUAUUAUGAAUCUUGAUUACAUAAAAUUUUCUACAAAAAUAAUUAUUUCCUUGUAAAAGUCCAUUGUAUUAUAAAAAUAAUGUGACAAGAUUUGCAUUUAGGAUGAUUAGAUUGCUUGUUGGUAUGUGCGGUGUAAAAACAGAAACUUUGGCUGUAGUGCAUGAAUUUACAUUUUUUACUCGACUGUCGAAAGUUCCUAAAAAAAUAAACAGUAAUGCUAUGGAAAUUUCCUAUUUCGUCCUAAGUUUUCAUAAGUUUUGAAGUUACUGAAGUAUAUGUCAAUGUUAAGAUUACUACAGCCUGUCCUAUUUUUGACAAAUUCUGUUUUUGAUGCAUUAUUUUGCUUGUUUUGAUGAGACUAUCGAUUGUAUCAAUGGUAGAAGCGAGGGGGAAGUUAUAUUAUAGUAGCUAUAAUAGAAAAACAAAAUAUUAAUGGGUUUUAAACACUACUUAAGGUAGUAAUUUGCAUUAUUAUACUAAUGGAUCUCAUUAGUUUUCUGUUAAGUUUUGUGUGGAUCAAGUGUUCGAAGUUCGAGGAGGUCUCUAUAUGAGGAGAUGGAGGAGAGGCAAGAGUUCAAGAUUGGUAAUUCCCAAGUCACCCCAAGUAAAUAUCCAAGGAGACUCAAGCGUCUAAGGUUGGGUAUUCCCCGGAAGGCAUCCCAUCGUACUGCAACAAUAUCGGUAUGUUUUCGGCUUUGUUUUGUUCAUGCGAUAUGCGUAAAUGUUGGAGCAACUUUUGUGUUUAGUUUUCACUUGUAUUUUAUGCACCAUGCUGGUAUGAGAUAGUCCAUUGUUGAUUUAUAGUAUGCUCAUUGCACUUCACUUAUAUAUUUUGAGUAUGGUCUUAUAGAAUGCUUCAUGUGCUUCACUUAUCUCAUUUGAUGUUUGGAUUGCGUGUUUCUCUAUAUAUAGAAAACCGUUAUUUGUAGAAUGCUCUUCUGCUUCACUUAUAUUUAUUAGAGCGUGGUCUUUUGUAGAAAUAACUAAACUCUCAUGCUUCACUUAUAUCUAUUUAGAGAGUCAAAAGGAAUUGGUCAUUUACUUGGUUAGGCAUUAAUCCUACAUAAAACUUGUAGAGCACUGAGUAUGAUGUUUUUGAUUCCUGGUAAUAGUUUUGCGACAUUAUGAUAGAAAUAUGUGGGUGCACUAGUUGAUGAUGAUGGAUUAGUACGAAUAUUGAUGUUAAGGUUUGUGAUUCCUGAAGCAUGCACAUAUAAUCUCUGGUUACGCGAUGGAGUUGGAGCAUAAUUUAUCCUUGAUUGAAAUGCUUUGUGCUGUUAUAAUCGGAGUCACGCGAUGGUUAACUCCUCCCAACCUUCCCCCUAGGGGCAUGCGAGUAGUGCUUUGCUUCGAGUGAGCUAAUAAAAUAUUGCAAUAAGUAUGUGAGUUCUUUGUUACUAAUGUAAAUCCAUGGAUAUACACACUCUUACCUUUCCGCAAUUUGCUAGCCUCUACCGUACCAUGCAUUGCCCUUUCUCACCUCGAGAGUCGGUGCAAACUUCGCAGGUGCAUCCAAACCCCGUGAUAUGAUACGCUCUAUCACACAUAAGCCUUAUUAUAUCUUCCUCAAAACAGCCACCAUACCUACCUAUUAUGGCAUUUCCAUAGCCAUUCCUAGAUAUAUUGCCAUGCAACCUCUGCCGUCACUUCAUAUGACUUGUACUUCCACUAUCACAUUGCUUUGCAUGAUCAUAAGAUAGCUAGCAUGAUAUUUACAUGGCUUGUUCAUUUUUUAUAAUAUUUUGCUACGCUAGAUCACUGCACAUCUUGGUACACUGCUAGAGGCAUUCAUAUAGAGUCAUACUUUGUUUUAGGUAUCGAGUUGUAAGUAAAUAAAAGCGUGAUUAUCAUCAUUAUUAGAGAAUUUUCCCAGUGAGGAAAGGAUGAUGGAGACUAUGAUUUCCCCACAAGUCGGGAUGAGACUCCGAACGAAAAAUGAAAAAUGGGGGAGGCCAAAUGAUCCCACCACAAAAAAAGAGAAAGAAAAAAUGAGAGAAAAAAGAGAAGGAGCAUGCAAAUUCCACACUUGUGCUUCAAAGUAGCACCAUGUUUUUCAUAUGGAGAGUCUCCUAUGUUGUCACUUUCAUAAACUAUUGGGAAUUUUUAAUUAGAGUUUGAAGCACACCCACUUAGUUUUCACGUUGAGAUUCCAUACACUUAUAGCUCUUAGUGCAUCCGUUGCAUGCCAAUCCCUACUCCUCGCAUUGAUAUCUAUUGAUGGACAUCUUCAUAGCCCGUUGAUAUGCUGAGUUGAUGCGAGACUUUCUUCUUCACUUUUACCCCCUUUGAAACCUACCACGAAAUUCUAUUCCACCUUUAUGAUAUAUCCAUGGUUCACGCUCAUGUAUCGAGUGAGUAAUAAAAAGCUGAAGCGCGUUAAAAACAACGAUCCAAUUGCUUGAUUUGACACUAGGGUGAUCAUGAUUUAUACCUUAUGCUAGGAAGACCAAGCAUGAUAGGCUAUAUGAUUUUGUACGGAUAGCUUUAUUUAGCAUUGUUAUUUUGAAAGGACAUGACUGUUUGCUAGUAAACCUGGGUAUGGAUGCCUUUUUUUGUCAAAUGAUAGACUAUUGCCUUGAAUCACUUGUAUCUUAAUAUUCAUGCCAUGAUUAGAUAUAUGAUCAAGAUCAUGCUAGGUAGCAUUCCACAUUAAAAAUUAUCUUUUUUUAUCAUUUAUCUACUCCAGGACGAGCAGGAAUUAAGCUUGGGGAUGGUGAUACAUCUCCGUCGUAUCUAUAAUUUUUGGUUGUUCCAUGUCAAUAUUAUACAACUUUCACAUAUUUUUGGCAACAAUUUAUAUGAUUUAUUGGACUAACAUAUUGAUCCAGUGCCAAGUGCGAGUUCCUGUUUGUCACAUGUUUUUUGUGUUUAUCGAAAUAUCCAUAUCAAAUGAAGUCCAUACGCGAUAAAAAUUUACAAAUAAUUAUUUUGGAAUAUAUGUGAUUUUUGGGAGGUGGAACCAAGGAAAACGGAGGCCCAUGACCUCCACUUGACACCAGGGUGCGCCUGGGACCCCUGGCGCGGGGUGGUGUCGAGUGGGCACCCCUUAAGUCAGUUGUGGCUCUCCUUGGAGAACAAGAAACCUAAUUUAUGGAUAAAUAUCCCCUGAAAAUUUUAGCCCGGUCGGAGUUACGGAUCUCCAGGAAUUUAAUAAACAGUGAAGGGCGAGAAAACAAGAAUGUGAAACAAAAGAGAACAGAGUGGGAGAUCCAAUCUUGGAAGGGCUCCUGCCCCUCCGCCGCCAUUGAGGCGAUGGGCGAUAGGAGGAACUCUUCUCCCAUCUAGGGGGAGUCCAAGGAAGAAGAAGAAGGAGCGGGCUCUGCCCCCUCUCUCAUGGUGGCGCCGGAGUGCCGCCGGGGCAAGGAGCAUGAUGGUAAUCUACAACAACAAUCUUGCCACCUUCAAUUCCAAUCUCUCCCCCUCUAUGCAGCGGUAUAACACAUAUUUUCACAAUGUAACUCUGUACUUAAACAUGAUGCCCAAUGCUACAUACUAUUUCGCAAUGAUAUAUGGUUAUCCUAUGAUGUUUGAGUAUAUCCGUUUUGUCCUACGGGUUAAUUGUGAGAUGGUGUUUUUGAUAUGGGUUGUGUAUUGAUAAGGUGCUUUUAGUGAUGCACACACAUGAAGGAUACACGCUGAAGGGUUUGCAAUAUAUUCAUGAUUCACUUAUAGUGGUUGGCGAGAGUGAAAGAAACUUACAUCCGAGUAAGGGAGUUGUGCCUGUAUGGGAGUAAAGAGGACUGUAUGUUUAACGCUAUGGUUGGGCUUACCUUAAUGAUUUCCAGUAGUUGGGUGUAACAUCCCAAAUUUUGGAAUGUUAAUAUAAUUAUUAGAUUGAUUGUUUGUUUGUUUGAGUGAUUGAAACUUGAGUGAAGUUUGAAAUUUUUCAAAACUUUUGAAUGAGAGGGAAUAAAAUGAUUUUCCCCUUUUUCCUGUAAAUUCAAAUUCAUCCAUUUAAAAUCAAUGAUGAGAACAUAGCAUGACUUCUUCAACUAUAAAGAAUUUGAAUCAAGGUGGCAUUGAAAUUCCUGUCGAUUUUUCUUUGCAUUUUGUUUGUUCCUUAGUCACGGAAUGUCGGGAACCAUAUCUUGUCAAGCAAGAAAAAGAGAGGAGAAAACAUGACCCUCCAAACCCGGGGAUAUUCUUUGAAAUAUUUGAGCCAUGACACCCAAGAUUUAUUUGAGUAAUUAUUUGCAAAAAGAAAUAAAGCAUUUAGGGGAUUUACUGAAAAACAUUUUUUUAAAAGUUUUUAUUUCGGCCGUGGAAAAAUGUCCAUCAUUUAUAUUUUAUUUUUCUGAUAAUUUUAGUAUAUAGAAAUUCUAUAUUCCGAAUUUAUUUGGUUUCCUUUUUUAUCAUUUACUUUCCGGUUUUUGCAAAUAGGAAAGAGAUAUUUUUUAAUUGGAAAUAGAUCGGUGGCCCAUUAACACUCUCCAAAUCUGGCCCGACAGGAUCAUCUUCCUCCUCACGUUCUCCUACCUCACGUCGCAGGAAACUUCCAUAGCCAUGGUGAGAGGAAUCUCCACCUUCCCGAUCUCCUUGCUCCUUCCUUCUGCGAGCACCCCGAGCCCCUAUAAAUACUCCCCUCAACCUCCUCUCCCCAUUUUCCCCGUAGCCCAGCCCCUCUCCUCGUUGGAACGCAGCCCCCACCUCGCCGAAGUUCGCCUCCAACAGGAACUCGCCGGAGCUCUUGCUGCUCCCUCCCGUCGCCCCCACGCCCCGCCGGCACCACUGAUGGGGUCAUAGUCCUAGGGUAGGGUCAUAGGCCUGCCCUACACGUCCCUAUCCAAGGACUACCCCACACAAAGGACAGGGCCCUAGGUCUGUUCUGACUGAAUUAAGGAGUCCCGAUCAUCCAGUCGGCAACAGGCCAUGAACCAUCCAGUCGGAGACUAGCAUUCGGAGGGCAUCAAGCUAACCGACUGGAUACACUCGGUACGUCGUAACCUCUCUGGAGGGAAACUGCCGUACGUUUCCGGGUGCAUUUAUUAGCAUUUAGAGCAUACGUUACCUGUAACGUACGCAUUCAAUCGCCACUACUCCACCCUUGAAUCAGAACCAUUGUGGAGGGCCGCGCACUCUAUAUAAGCCGCCCUCCCCCACUGGUAAAAGGGUUAGCAAAUCAUUGUACUCCAUAUUACACUCGGUAACAAGCUCCGAGAGCACUGAGACGUAGGGCUGUUACCUCCACUGUAGAGGGGCCUGAACUCAUACAACCUCGCCGUAGCUAGGACUCUGCCCAUCUCAUUCGUACCCUACACAUCUACUGUCAGGCUUAUACCCACGACAGUUGGCGCCCACCGUGGGGCAGGCGUCUAAGCGACUUCGGGCGAGUUUGCGACUACCUCUUUUCGUCAUGCCGACUGGUGAAGAUUCGAGCAUGGGUCACCAGAUCCUCUUCGGUGCUCUCUCCUUCAUCUUCGACGAUUCGGCGUGGCUUCGGGAGGCUCCUCUCGACGUCGAGGCGCUUCCCCGUCGCGGGGCCACGCACUUCCGUGCCGGCGCUCGCGGCGUUCUUCUUCUUCAACAAUCGACUCCAUUGUCGGUUUGCACCUCCGUCGUGCGCCGCACCAAGCGGUCCCGCAGUCCGCGUCUCCAACGUUGGGUGCAGCAUGCCCGAGCGCGUCAGGUCGCGUCCUCUCAAGUGGCGGUUUUGGAGUCAGUUGUGGUAGCCCCACGCUCCCAGUGCUCGGGCUCGGUUCCGACUGAGCUCCCUUCCGAGUACGCGGGUCGCGGGCCUGCAGCAGAAGUACAUAUGGCCAACACCCAUGAAGAUUCCCGUCAAACCGACCGGGGUGAGCGCGAAGUUGGUGAAGCAUCCGGUGCACGCCGUCCUCGUCGUCGUUCUGCCAGUCGGCACACUCGACGAAGCAACAUAGAGUUGUUCCGCACACCUCUCCUCAACUUGGCUGCGGCUGCCCAGAUCGCCGAUUCCCUCCAGCCGACUGAUUCAGAGGCAGGGAGGGGAAUCGAGCAGAUCCGAGCUCUAUUGCGCACGACACAGCAGCAGAAUUCGGCAGUCUCCCAGUCACACAAUCGGAUCUACAAUAGUUCCGUCCAUGCAAACACGCAUCGAUCGGUUCACAGCCCUGGUUCCCAUCAACACCACAGGGGAGGCAGCCGUUCCGUGAUCCGUGAAGAUUGCCGCCGCUCACGCACCCCUCCGCAAAGGGACGCUUGGAAAGAAGGGAACGCACGGCUCUUAUCUGGUUCGAAUCCAGUUCGGGGUGGGCCUUACGGGUCCCGACAUCAUGAUGAUCGGCGUUCAGUCAGCGACACUUACGACCCAAGACACGACGCAAGAGGGCGAAUCGCCCAACGAAGAGUCGACAGGGGUCGAGCCCACCGUGAUGGGCACAAUAUGGACCGUCCAAGUGGCAGUAGGUCCAUCGUGUCCGGACCCGAGUGUUUUAUUCGAGCCAUCCGCUCGGCUGACAUCCCGCCCAACUUCCGAUUGGCAGCGGGAAUCAGUAAAUUUACGGGAGAAUCCAAGCCUGAAACAUGGCUAGACGACUACUGAGUGGCAGUCCAGAUCGGAGGAGGGGACGACCAUGUCGCCAUGAAGCACCUCCCUCUGAUGCUCGACGGCUCGGCUCGAGCUUGGCUUAACCAAUUGGCCCCCUCAAGCAUUUACAGUUGGGCAGAUCUGGCCCGAGUGUUCAUCAGGACCUUCGAAGGGACGUGCAAACGCCCUGCAGGCCUUGUGGAGCUUCAGCACUGCGUUCAGAAGCCGAAUGAACCCUUGCACGACUUCAUCCAGCGAUGGACAACUCUCUACCACACGGUGGAGAACGUCACCGAGCAUCAAGCAGUCUGCGCCUUCAAGGCAGGCGUGCGGUACAGAGAGCUAUACUUGGAGUUCGAUCAAACGGGCGACAUCUCCAUGAGUAAGAUGAUGGAGAUAGCGGCUCGCUACGCAAAUGGCGAAGAAGAGGACCGCAUCCGGAGCGGCAAACACAAGACAGUCGGCGAUGUCGACGGAGGUUAACACUCGGAAGCAGAAACAAAAAGUUCCUCCCACACCGCAAGCAGAAGCUGCAGCUGUAACCAGCGCCAAGUUCAAGGGCAAAGGGAAAGCGCAGUUUACCCCCAAGAAGAAGCCUUUCAACAAUCCCAUCCUGGACCAGCCUUGUCCAGUUCACACGAAGAUGGACGAGGAAGGCAACCCCAUAUACGCGAAGCACACCACUCGGCAGUGCCGUCUCCUGAUCCAGGGGUUUAGCGAAGGGCAACCGAGUGAAAAGAAUCCUGAACAAGAUGAGGAAGAUAAGGAGGAUCCGUUCCCCUAAGUCCAUGCAACCCUCAUGAUUUUUGCUGACGUCGAAACCAAGAGUCGUCUGAAACUGGUGAACAGAGAAGUCAACAUGGCCGUUCCGACUGCCCCCAAGUUUCUUAAAUGGUCUCAGACUGCGAUCACCUUUGACCAAUCGGAUCAUCCAGUGCAUGUCCCCACCCCAGGAAGACAGGCUCUGGUCGUCGACCCGGUGGUGGAAGGAGUCCGACUGCGCAAACUCCUCAUGGACGGCGGUAGCGAACUGAACAUCAUGUACGCUGACACUCUCAAGGGAAUGAGCAUUCCGAUGUCCAGACUCAGCGAGAGCAGUAUGCAAUUCCACGGAUUCGUCCCUGGACGGAAGGCCAAGUCACUCGGCCAAAUCGCGUUGGACGUCAUCUUCGGCUCCAACAAAAACUUUCGAAAGGAAAAGCUUACAUUUGAGGUGGUGGAUUUUCAGAGCGCUUACCACGCAAUUUUGGGCCGCCCGGCGUACAUGAGCUUCAUGGCACGUCCAUGCUAUGUAUACUUGAAGUUGAAGAUGCCGGGCCCAAAAGGCGUUAUCACCAUCACGGGCAACCGCCAGCGAGCCGAGCAAUGUCUGCAGGAGGGAUCAAGAAUCGCCGACAAGCAGAUGGCUGUACUCGAGCUCGACGAAUACAAGAAGACAGUCGACCCUGCCGACCUGAUGCGCUCGAAGAAACCAGCUUCUGAGUCCGCGUUUCAGUCGGCGGGGGAGACGAAGAAGAUCAACAUCCACCCGACGGACGACUCUGCUGCCCCGACGAACAUCUCCACCACCCUCGAUCCUAAAUAGGAAGCCAAGCUCACCCAAUUCCUCCGUGAGAACUGGGACAUCUUCGCAUGGAAACCGUCUGACAUGCCGGGUGUACCUAGGGAGUUGGCUGAGCACCGACUGCAUGUGGAUCCCGCCGCUCGGCCUGUCCGAGAGCGCCUGCGCCGGUCCACCGCGCACAAGAGGAAAGCAAUCGGAGAAGAGGUGGCCAAGCUGUUGGCCGCCAACUUCAUUCGCGAGGUUCACCACUCCGAGUGGCUCGCCAAUGUCGUCAUGGUGCCCAAGAAGGACAAGUCACUCCGAAUGUGCAUUGACUUCAAGCAUCUCAAUAAGGUCUGCCCGAAAGACCAUUUUCCGCUCCCCCGCAUAGAUCAAAUUGUCGAUUCGACUACGGGUUGCGAGCGGUUGUCAUUUCUUGAUGCCUAUUCGGGCUAUCAUCAGAUCCGUCUGUAUGGCCCCGAUGAGUUAAAAAUAGCCUUCAUCACCCCGUUUGGGUGCUUCUGCUACAUCACUAUGCCUUUCGGUCUGAAGAAUGCAGGAGCUACCUUUAUGCGCAUGAUCCAAAAAUGUCUCCUUGACCAGAUCGGUCGCAAUGUGGAGGCAUACAUGGAUGAUAUCGUAGUCAAGUCGCGCAAAGGUUCCGACCUGCUGACUGACUUGGCAGAAACAUUCGCCAACCUUCGUAGGUACGAUAUCAAGCUCAACCCAGCCAAGUGUUCAUUCGGUGUUCCCAGCGGAAAGUUACUCGGUUUCUUCGUUUCCGAACGAGGGAUCGAUGUUAACCCCGAAAAGAUCGGGACCAUCGUCCGAAUGGAGAGGCCGGUUAGAAUACAUGAUGUUCAACGGCUCACAGGUUGCCUAGCGGCUUUGAGCAGGUUCAUCAGUCGACUCGGCGAAAAAGCACUUCCUCUGUACCGACUCAUGAAGAAGUCAGAUACCUUCGAGUGGACAGACGAAGCCCAAGUCGCAUUCGACAACCUCAAAGUCCUACUUUCCAUCCAGCCGGUUCUUACUGCUCCGCUCAGUAAGGAGCCCCUUCUUCUGUAUAUCGCGGUUACAAACCAAGUCGUCAGUACUGUUCUUACAGUCGAGCGAGAAGAAGAAGGCAAAGCAUACAAAGUCCAGCGGCUAGUGUACUACGUCUCCGAAGUCCUGACCCCUUCCAAGCAGAGGUAUCCCCAUUAUCAGAAACUUAUUUAUGGGAUCUAUAUGACUGCGAAGAAGGUGGCCCAUUAUUUCCAAGACCACUCGGUAUCUGUCGUUUUUGAUGCUCCGUUGUCGGAAAUUCUCCACAAUUGAGACGCGUCAGGCCGAGUGGCGAAGUGGGCAAUGGAGAUGUUGUACUGUGACAUCAAGUUCGAGGCCAAGAAAGCUAUUAAGUCUCAAGCCCUGGCUGACUUUAUAGCAGAGUGGGUAGAACAACAGCAACCGACCCACAUCUACUCGGCUCAUUGGACAAUGUUCUUCGAUGGGUCUAAGAUGUUGAAUGGAUCCGGCGCUGGCGUUGUGAUCAUAUCACCAAAGGGUGACAAGCUCAAGUACGUGCUUCAGAUACACUUUGAUUCCUCCAACAAUGAGGCGGAGUAUGAAGCCCUCCUCUACGGAUUGCGCAUGGCCAUCUCACUCGGCAUCCGUCGCCUGAUGGUCUACGGCGAUUCGGAUUUGGUGGUCAAUCAAUUGAUGAAAGAGUGGGACGUAAGGAACCCCACCAUGAGAACAUACUGCAAUGCAGUGAGGAAGCUGGAGAAGAAGUUUGAAGGUUUAGAGCUCCAUCAUGUUCCGAGACUGAAGAACCAAGCAGCUGACGAGUUGGCAAAACUCGGAUCCACUCGGAGACCAGUCCCGAGUGAUGUCUGCCUCGAACACCUUCAUCUUCCCUUAGUCAAAGAAGAUACCUUCACAGAAGAACCGGUACAACCCAAGAGUGCAACAGAUCCGACUGAAGUCGAUGUACCUACUGUGGUUGAUCUGAUCACAGAGAUUCUGGCCGUCAUUCCCGACUGGACUGUGCCGAUCAUCGCAUAUAUCCUGAGGCAAGCACUUCCAGAAGACGAGGUCCAAGCCAGAAAAAUAGUUCGCAGGUCGAAGGCAUUCACUGUCAUUGAUGGUCAAUUGUACAAGGAGAUUGUUUCAGGCGUUCUUCAGUGUUGCAUUUCCCCAGAGGAAGGGCAGUUGAUCCUAGAGGAUAUUCACUCGGGAACCUGCGGCCAUCACGCUUCUUCAAGAGGAAUUGUCGCCAAGGCAUUCAGAGCCGGUUUCUUUUGGCUGCAGGCAAACGAGAUGGCUAAAGAUAUGGUUGACCGAUGUGAAGACUAUCAGUUCUACUCCAACAAGUCCCACAAGCCAGCAUCUGCAUUAAAGACGAUCCCGCUUGUGUGGCCAUUUGCAGUUUGGGGAUUAGAUACAGUCGGACCAUUCAAGACAGGCCAAGGAGGCUACACACAUCUGUUGGUGGCAGUCGACAAGUUUACGAAAUGGAUAGAAGCCAAGCCCAUCAAGAAACUCGAUGCCUCAACAGCUGUCAAGUUUGUCAGGGACAUCAUUUCCAGAUUCGGGGUACCUCACAGCAUAAUCACCGACAACGGGACGAACUUCGACUCGGACAGAUUCAAGGGCUUUUAUGCGAGUCAGGGCAUCAGAGUGGAUUUUGCUUCCGUAGCACAUCCUCAAUCUAACGGGCAAGCUGAGUGGGCGAAUGGGCUUAUUCUUCAAGGUUUGAAGCCCCGACUCCUGCGAGAGGUAGGACACGCUGCCGGUGCAUGGGUCACCGAGUUACCUUCAGUGCUUUGGGGCCUCCGCACCACUCCGAACAGGUCAACGGGGCGAUCAUCGUUCUUCCUCGUUUAUGGAGCAGAAGCGCUCCUUCCGAGUGACCUGCUUCACAAUGCCCCACGAGUCGAACUCUUCUCCGAAGCCGAAGCAGAACAAGCAAGGCAAGAUGGGGUCGAUCUUCUAGAGGAGGAACGCGAGAUGGCACUUACUCGCUCAACAAUUUACCAGCAAGAUCUGCGACGCUUUCAUGCGCGUCACGUCAGGAGCCGCACAUUCCAAGCAGGCGACUUAGUGCUCCGAGUGGACCAACAAAGACCCCACAAGUUGGCUCCGGCCUGGGAAGGCCCUUUCAUCAUCUCCAAGGUGCUGAACAACGGAGCAUACAGACUCUACAACAUUCAGAGCGAGACAGAUGAGCCACGCGCAUGGAACGGAGAUCUCCUCAAGCACUUUUAUACGUGAUCGUCGACUGAAGCAGUGUAAAGAACAAGUUGUGACAAAAUAAUAUAUACAGCAGGUUCAGUUUUUUGCAGAUACAGAGUCCUCCACGGUCGCAGACUCCGGUCACACACAAAAAAAACUUAGCUGCGAUCCCGAAUCGCCUAAGUACUAACUUCCUCCGAGUGUGCACUACACGUCGCACUCGGGGACUUAGCUGUGAUCAAGAAUCACCUAAGUAAUAUAUUCCUACGAGUGUGCACUACACGUCGCACUCGGGGACUUAGCUGUGAUCAAGAAUCACCUAAGUAAUAUCUUCCUACGAGUGUGCACUACACGUCGCACUCGGGGACUUAGCUGUGAUCAAGAAUCACCUAAGUACUAACUUCCUACGAGUGUGCACUACACGUCACACUCAGGGACUUAGCUGUGAUCAAGAAUCACCUAAGUACUAACUUCCUACGAGUGUGCACUACACGUCGCACUCGGGGACUUAGCUGUGAUCAAGAAUCACCUAAGUAAUAUCUUCCUACGAGUGUGCACUACACGUCGCACUCGGGGACUUAGCGGUGAUCAAGAAUCACCUAAGUAAUAUCUUCCUACGAGUGUGCACUACACGUCGAACUCGGGGACUUAGCUGUGAUCAAGAAUCACCUAAGUAAUAUCUUCCUAUGAGUGUGCACUACACGUCGCACUCGGGGACUUAGCUGUGAUCAAGAAUCACCUAAGUAAUAUCUUCCUACGAGUGUGCACACCACGUCGCACUCGGGGACUUAGCUGUGAUCAAGAAUCACCUAAGUAAUAUUUUCCUACGAGUGUGCACUACACGUCGCACUCGGGGACUUAGCUGCGAUCAAGAAUCACCUAAGUACUAACUUCCUACGAGUGUGCACUACACGUCGCACUCGGAGACUUAACUGUGAUCAAGAAUCACCUAAGUAAUAUCUUCCUACGAGUGUGCACUACACGUCGCACUCGGAGACUUAGUUGUGAUCAAGAAUCACUUAAGUAUUAAUCUUCUCCGAGUAUGCACUAAACGUCGCACUCGCAACAGCAUUCAAACAAAAGACUAAAUGCUUUCAUUCAGAUUCCACAAGUCUAGAAAGGAUAGAUAACUCGGUGCGGAUCAAGCUUACCCACACCGAUUUAAAAGUAUCGCAGCCAACAGAAGUGGCAAGAGUACCUUACACAUAGCCACUCAGCAUACCGAGGAUAAAGUUUUAUUCCGCGUCAGCUGGGCCGGCGCCAGGACUGGAGGGCUCCACGAAAGUGUCCAAGUCGAUUCCAUCGGCGAUGCGGGUAGCAGUCUCAAGGAACGUCUCCAUGAAGUCUUUGAAUCGAAGCUUCUUCGUGUUGGCGACCUUCAAUGUCUUCAGCUUAUCUUCCCGCACCUCCUUGCAAUGGACUCGGACCAAGGACAGCGCAACAUCAGCACCGCAACGCGUUGCCGAUUUCUUCCACGAUUGCACUCGGCUCGGAAUCUCCUCCAGUCGUGCCAUCAAGGAUUCCAUCUCCUGCCACGACUCGUCUUCCGGCCAAAGUUCCUUGUUAAUUCGGCCGACGACUUCUCUCAGUCGACCGAUGAAAGGACUAACUUUGCCUACGCGGAUAUGCGCCCGGAGCAGAUCCCGGUUGGCCUCCUCGCCGAGUGGCACGUUCUCUUUAAUGGACCGCUCCACAGCCGCCGCUUCAGCUUCACCAUCCAUACAAAAGUCUACAACAAACGGACAAGCAUACAAUCAAUACCGAGUGUAAAGCGCACGGUACAAACACUCGGCAAAGCAUAAUACUUACCAGCCAGACGAGUCAUCAUCUGCCCAGCCCAGUCCUUCACAUACUUCUCUUGAGCUAUACAUCGUCUGUUCAAGAUGGCCAUCUGAUUGUUUAGAGCAGACCUCUGCUUUUUCAUUAUUUCCACCUCCGCCGUCAACACCUUAUUUGCCUCCAGAGCCUCCUCCAAGGACUUCUCUCGUACUUCCAGAGCAUCCUUCAUACCGGCCAUGGCGAGCAUAGCAGCAUCAAGCUCACCAGCGAACUGGUUCCUCUCCGCCCUCAGGGCCUCAUAGGCCGUCCCCAUUUCACAAUUUUUCUGCCACCAAGAAACAAAGGACAAUAAGCAAGUUUAUUAGUUCACAGUCUAUGUUCUUCAGACCCCUGCUGACGCAAGCAGUCGACAGCGGUCUCGGGGACUACACCCAGUGGGUUCACUAAGAGUGACCCCACUGACUUGCACCUCAAGCAGGCCUGCCCUAUUGAGAUGCAUGUUUUCACCUACGCCUCAAAGGCCAAUACUACCCGACUUGAGUGCAACUUACUCUCGGAGACUCUUACGGCAAGUGCACUCCGACUGCAACAAGUACUCGCACUCGGCAAUAUUAUCUACGGACACAAUCGAACUAAAGGCAAAAUGUAUAAAGACAACUGUCGGUGCAAGCACUCGACAGAAGUCUCGGGGACUACACCCACUGGGUUCACUCGGAGUGAACCCAUUGCAAACAACAACAACACCUAGUGGGUUACACAAGAAAAGUAAGUACUUACUAGACUACUUACUCGGAUGUCAUCGCGUAGCUCCAUGCUCCGCUGGGACAAGGCCGCAACGGAGUCAUAAGCCCUCUUGGCUUCUCCAACCAUCAGCUCCGCCUGAACCAUGGCCCCUUUGGCCGCUCCCACCUGCUCCUCCGGAAGACGCCGGAUGCUGAAUUCAGCAUUCGACGAACCAGGAAUCGUCGGAGGUUCCUGAGGCAUCCCAAGGUCUGCCCCAGUCGGUUCCUCCCCCACCAGCACCGGUUCAGUCAGUGGCGGCGCUUCAGUCGACGGGGCGUCGGCGGCAGGAGUGGCAGCAGGAGGAGCAUCCUCAAGGACAGGCUCCACGGCGGGGUUGGCUCUCCCCUGGUCGUCCUCGUCCAGGCAAAUCGCCCCUGACAAGCCGAGUGACAUGACGUCUCAGAAAAAGAAAGAAUGGCAUAGUCCGUGGAGAUAAAACACCCGACUCUCCUACAACACACCUAGCUGGGACGAGACAACGUUAUCCAUGUCCAUGGGGUCGUCCCCUUGGCGGGCCGGAGAGGUUGCAGAGGUGGCGACCCUGUCGAGUGAAAUCCAUUCGACUUGUAAACAGGGGUUCACUCGGAUAACAGAAAGAGCCGAAAGUUAAAUUCACUUACGUGGAGCUGACAGGGAUGGAAACCCUCAUUCGUGGCAGAGCCUUCCGAGGCUUCGGUCCACUCGGCUUGGGCGCCAUGGAAGACUGGCCGGCGGGCUCAGCAGCGGCGUCCCUGGCCCUCUUGGUGCCUCGAGUACUCGGAACCACCGGAGCAGCAGGCGGAGCACUCGACGACGCAGGAGGAGCAGAAGGGACGACGGGCUCGUGUCGGCACUUGGUCCGAUGCUCUGGUCGUGGAGGUGGUGAGCCUUGCUCUUCAUCCUCUUCGCCUCCUCUUCCUCCUCCAGAUCCCCAUUCGAGACGGGGGAGAACCAGUUGGUCCACGCCUGCAUGAAGUUCAGUCGGAAACGUUAAGCAUCACACGGAGAUAUAAGUAAACAACCAGAACCAAGACAAUUCAACGCACUCGGCUAAUGCCACUCACCUGAUUCGGUGGAGGGUGGUCCGCGCUGUAAGGCUUCACUCGGCGAGCUCCUUUGGGGUUCUCGCAGGGACCCGUGAUUUGGAGCACCCACGAGGUCACCCUCUCCUCGGGUACGCCCACCAUGUUGGUCCGAGUGGAAUCCUGGGGCCCUGUGUAGUGCCACAUAGCGUGGUCGCCAGCCUGCAGCGGCUGGAUCUGCCGACCAAGGAAGACUUCCAGCAGGUCUAUGCCGGUGACCCCCCUCCUGACAACAUCCACGAGUGCCUCAACCAAAGGCUGGAUGUCAUUCUUCUCAGCCUUCGAGAGCGCGAGGUUCUUGGGCGGAGCGGGCCGGUCUAGACUAAACGGAGGCAGCCCAGUCGAUGCGUUCGGACAGGCGAUGUCCUGGCAGUAGAACCACAUCGACUGCCAGUUCCUCACCGACUCACUCAACUGGAGAGCAGGAUAGCUGCUCCGACUCUUCUUCUGGAAUCCUAAACCACCACAGAGCUGGAGGAGGUGCGUCUUAUCGUCCGACUGACUAAGACGUUUGAUGGUUUGGGAGCGGGCGGAGAAGAUGUGUUUGAACAAACCCCAAUGUGGGGGCAACCGAUGAAGCACUCACACAAAACGAUGAAAGCAGAGAGAUGGGCGAUGGCAUUCGGAGGAAAGUGAUGGAGUUGAGCCCCGAAGUGAUUCAUGAUGCCUUUAAAAAAGGGGUGUGGGGGCAAAGAAAAACCUCUGUGAACAUGGCUGAGGAGCAGGAUGCGCUCCUCCUCCCGAGGCGUCGGCUCGACCUCGUCGUCCGCCGGCAACCUCCAGGACUUAUGCAUGAGCAUUCCGUGCUCCACCAGCUCCAGCAAAUAUCCCUCUGUCACCGUGGAGGGGAGGAAGUAUCCUUGGAUCCACCCCGCCGGCAGCGUCCGCCGCCGCCAUUGAGCAGCCGCCGCCUUGUUCUUCUUCUUCCUCGCCUCCAUCUUGCUGGUCUGACCCUUGGUCAUGGAGGCGACGGCGAGUCCUCGAGAAGGAGGAGGAGGAAGGAGUGUAGGAGCGCAGGUGGUGGCGAGGAAGACGGAGCAGGCGAGAGCGAAAGAUUCGGCGAGCGUAACCGAGGAGUCUCGUCGCCCAGAGUUAAAUAGAGCGCCGACCGGGUCACUGGCGAAUGGGCCCGAAAUCUUAUCCACCCGACCGGCCGCGGCGAUAUCAGUGGAGGAGUUGAAGGCGCGAGAAUCGAGGGGUCAGGCGCUACUCGAGCGCGCUGGCGUCAUCCCCGCUGAGCGCGCGGAACCCGAAAUUUGAGAUCCCGGAAAAUCCGCCGCUGUCAGUUGACCGGUCGCGUCAAAAGAUGCCGCGGAAGCACUCGGUUCCCGACAGUCUGUUUCGCAAACCUUUCCACUCGGAUCGCUGGUCAGGAAAGAUAAAAUGGAUAGAGGUAAGCAACGCCCAAGCCGAACCUAGUCCAGUCAGAUCUGAACCUCAAGCACCGCUUCGGCGUUUCAACCCCAAUCCAUUCGGGGACUAAUGAUGGGUUCAUAGUCCUAGGGUAGGGUCAUAGGCCUGCCCUACACGUCCCUAUCCAAGGACUACCCCACGCAAAGGACAGGGCCCUAGGUCUAUUCCGACUGAAUUAAGGAGUCCCGGUCAUCCAGUCGGCAACAGGCCAUGAACCAUCCAGUCGGAGACUAGCAUUCGGAGGCAAUCAAGCUAACCGACUGGAUACACUCGGUACGUCAUAACCUCUCUGGAGGGAAACUGCCGUACGUUUUCGGGUGCAUUUAUUAGCAUUUAGAGCAUACGUUAACUAUAAUGUACGCAUUCAAUCGCCACUACUCCACCCUUGAAUCAGAACCGUUGUGGAGGGCCGCGCACUCUAUAUAAGCCGCCCUCCCCCACUGGUAAAAGGGUUAGCAAAUCAUUGUACUCCAUAUUACACUCGGUAACAAGCUCCGAGAGCACUGAGACGUAGGGCUGUUACCUCCACCGUAGAGGGGCCUGAACUCAUACAACCUCGCCGUAGCUAGGACUCUGCCCAUCUCAUUCGUACCCUACACAUCUACUGUCAGGCUUAUACCCACGACAACCACCAACCUUCGGCCCGAGCCCUCCUCCAUCGCGUGGACCCCUCCAUCGCCUCGGCCGGCCACCGGAGCAACCUUCCCGCCGUCUUCUCCAACUCCGGCGACUAACUCCAGUGAAAUUCACGAAAUCCCGUAUUGCAGUUUUUUUAGAAAAUUGCAAUCUUAGAAAAUUCAUAUCUAUUAGUCUAUAACUCUGAAUUAGGUGAUUCUUUUUGCCUUGGAUCACAAAUUUUAUGUAGUUACUGAAGAUAUAUAAUUUGUCUAUGUUUGGAUUUAUAAAAUUUGAAUUAGAUCAGAUUUGGUUUAAAUCCUGUUUUGCUUAUUCUGGGAGUUUAAAAAUAGCUUUUAAUUUAAUUCUUUUUGCUUCUAUUUCCUAGUGAUCAUAUCUUUUAGUAGUUUAAGUUUCAAUUUUUUUAAAUAUUUGUACUUUGGGGUUUUACCAAAACAGAUUAUGUUUUAGUUCUUUUAGGAUUAUGACUAUUUCUUUUUCUAUAAUUGUUUUUAAAUUAUUUACUUUUAUAUUUCAUAAAGUUUAUGUUUAGUUUUUGUUAGUUAAACAGUAGGUUCUCAACAAGUUUUUAUUUUUAUUUUAUUUGUUAUCAUGAAAUCAAUUCUAGUUCUCUAAUAACUUGUAAUUGAUUUCUCUACUGUUUCAACUCUUAUUUGAAAAUACUUUCAAAAUAGUUUUAUGUAAAAUACUUUAUUUUAUCUUGGUUAAAUUUAUAUCUUAGUUCCCUGUUAUUUAAUGUUCUAUUUUCUGUUAGAACAAAAAAACUAUUAAGUGUUUGAUGUAGUAGAAGACUCCUAGUUUUAGUUGAAGUUUCUUUUGGAUUCUUAUUCGCUCUCUCUUUUGUUUUGAUUGCUAGAAUGAUUGCUAGUAUGAGUGCUUACGUGAAUGAUAUGGUUGUUAUAUAGAUUUCAUCGGAGAGUGACGAGUAGUCUAUCAAGUUAUUCCUCGAGAACGAAAAUUCUUCUUCGUCAACAUCACCAGGCAAGUCAUUUGAUCAUGUAUCACCUAUGUUUUAUGCAUCGUAGUUCUACCAUCCUAUGCCCAAUUGCAUGCUGAGUAGGUACUUGCAAAUAUUGGUUACAUAUUGUAGUAUCAUGUGGUAGGCACCCAACAACCCCGUUAUUUGGCCUGGGACGAAAAUUUCAUAUUGCUAUGCUUGAGUAGACGGGAUUCUGGUUGAGAGUUUAUCACGAGUGAUGCGAGAAUAAUUUAAUAACCAAGACCGGUUAAGUCAAGACUUUUCAAGACCUCGUGAUGCAAUGCAACUAUGGGUGAAGGAUGGUUGAUCGGCUCCCUGGAGAAACCAGUGGAUGACCCGGGAUGGUGGAGACGUGGCAUGACAUCUUGCGGAAAGCUUCACCCAGGCUCAAAGAGACGGAUGGAUAUUUUCAAGACCCAAGGCUUACCUGCACAACACAAGUCAUUAUGGGCUCUGGCUUGGUUGGUCAACGCGGCGACUCUGGACAGGCUGUGCCAGCAGAUGUAGAAGAACGGUAGGAUUUGGAUGGGCACCGACAGGGAUUCACAGGGACCCGUUGAAACACCAUGUUUUGAUCAUCCGGUCUUCAAACACCCUGAAGUGCGAGGACAUACCCGGAGGCGAUCAAAUCUUGUGGGGAACCUGUGCAAAACUCUGCAGAGUAUUCAAACCUAAUCGAUUAGCCGUGUCCAUGGUCAUGGACAACUUGAGCCAAAGGAACUGAAGUUAUCUCAAAUUCUCAACACAAAUAAUAAUAUUGAUGUGGGUAUUAUUGACAACAUGGGUACGAGAAUUGGUUGGUGGAACCAUCUCGUUAACAACCAACAAUGUAGUAACAUUUUUCUUUUAGCCCUCUCUUGAUGUAGGAGAAAACCUUGCUUUUCGCUAAAAACUUGCAGCCCCACCUGCCAUAUAUGCAUAUAGAAUAGAUGAUUACUUUUUUACCUCUCUCUUAUGUGACUUGCCGGCAUAUUCAAUAUGCUAACGUACACGUCUGCAACGUCUUAUGUUAUAGAUAUUUUUCUUCGACAAGUAAGAGUACGAUUCAGGGUUACGGUCUACUCUCAACCUGUCGUUGAUGUUUAUUGGGACUCCACUCCCUUUGACAGUUUCCGCUGAGAUUUUGAGGUAUAUAUCAGUUUUACGUUAUUUACAUGUGAUUGCACUUUGAUAUAUACAUUGAUGUACUGUGUGUGCACAGAUACAGAGAGGCUUGACUCGUUUUGAGUCGGGUCGCUACAUUGGGGAUGCUUGCUAGAGGUUCAACCAUAAGUGCAUAUGAUCUAAGUACGGAAAGUGUGUUAGCGUAUGUCUCUCCCUCAUUGCACAUAAUAAGUAUGUAUCAUGUUGUAUUCAAUUACCUAUGGACAAUCUUUCUCUUGCUUUACAUAAAAAGCAUUCUACUAAACAUCCUCUAACUUUUAUUUAUUUGCUCUUUCUUUUUCCGCAAAAUAGUUUCAUACUUGUUCUAGGUAAAGUAAGCGUUUGCGAGCGUACAUUUGUAUCGGUGGUUGACAGAACUUUAGAGAAUAUUAAUUCUANNNNNNNNNNNNNNNNNNNNNNNNNNNNNNNNNNNNNNNNNNNNNNNNNNNNNNNNNNNNNNNNNNNNNNNNNNNNNNNNNNNNNNNNNNNNNNNNNNNNNNNNNNNNNNNNNNNNNNNNNNNNNNNNNNNNNNNNNNNNNNNNNNNNNNNNNNNNNNNNNNNNNNNNNNNNNNNNNNNNNNNNNNNNNNNNNNNNNNNNNNNNNNNNNNNNNNNNNNNNNNNNNNNNNNNNNNNNNNNNNNNNNNNNNNNNNNNNNNNNNNNNNNNNNNNNNNNNNNNNNNNNNNNNNNNNNNNNNNNNNNNNNNNNNNNNNNNNNNNNNNNNNNNNNNNNNNNNNNNNNNNNNNNNNNNNNNNNNNNNNNNNNNNNNNNNNNNNNNNNNNNNNNNNNNNNNNNNNNNNNNNNNNNNNNNNNNNNNNNNNNNNNNNNNNNNNNNNNNNNNNNNNNNNNNNNNNNNNNNNNNNNNNNNNNNNNNNNNNNNNNNNNNNNNNNNNNNNNNNNNNNNNNNNNNNNNNNNNNNNNNNNNNNNNNNNNNNNNNNNNNNNNNNNNNNNNNNNNNNNNNNNNNNNNNNNNNNNNNNNNNNNNNNNNNNNNNNNNNNNNNNNNNNNNNNNNNNNNNNNNNNNNNNNNNNNNNNNNNNNNNNNNNNNNNNNNNNNNNNNNNNNNNNNNNNNNNNNNNNNNNNNNNNNNNNNNNNNNNNNNNNNNNNNNNNNNNNNNNNNNNNNNNNNNNNNNNNNNNNNNNNNNNNNNNNNNNNNNNNNNNNNNNNNNNNNNNNNNNNNNNNNNNNNNNNNNNNNNNNNNNNNNNNNNNNNNNNNNNNNNNNNNNNNNNNNNNNNNNNNNNNNNNNNNNNNNNNNNNNNNNNNNNNNNNNNNNNNNNNNNNNNNNNNNNNNNNNNNNNNNNNNNNNNNNNNAUUUUUUUAAUUUAUGAUCGAAUUAUGAGCUUGUUGCAUUGAACUAUUUGUUUUGUAUUGAUUUUUGUGACAAACUUUGUCAUAAAAAUUUAGUUUUUAUUGAAUUUGUGCCAAAAGUGAGCCGAAUUUGGACAAAAAUGGGCCGAAUUUGCUCCAAAAUUGGGCCGAAAGCGUCGGCAGGGGGCUCCCUUGGGGGUCGGCUGGGAACCCGAGCCCCCCCCUCGCCGAAUUUGGCGUCAGUUCGCCCCAAACCGGCGCUAUUUCAGGCCCUUGGGGGGCGAACAGGUGGAGAUGCUCUAAGAAUCUGGAGCACAACACAAAAGAGAAUUUAUGGCAUGCAACGACGGACCGACCUCUUUUUUCGCUUUUAAUUUUUUAAUGUUUCAUAUUCAUAUUUCUUGUGACGAGGACUUUCAAAUAAGGAUAAUUUUAAAUACGUUUUGACAAGCUAUUUUUUAGUUUCAAGUGUUGAAACUUAAUACAAAGAACGAUAAAUUCCAUAAGUUUUAGGAACUUAAACUUAAAACUUCAUGUGCCCUCGUGUAAAACCCAAUGACUUUAUGAAGCAAUCAAACGACUGGGCAAGACUGCGCAGCUGCUAACCCCUAAGAAUUUCCGAGCAUAACAUAGGCAAAAGUAUUAAUGUUACCACGGUGGUAUAUUCGUGCGUUGCAUGCCUUCUGUUUUAACUACUUUAAGUUGACUUCCCUUGCUUUUUUGAGGAGAACUUAACUAUAUUAUAGAAGGAUUUAACUAUUUAAAGAUGUGAUGACUUGUUAAGAAUAUAUUGGACUCCUUUAAAAAGGCAUGUCAUAGGGUUUUUGGAGGAUUUAAUAACCAAGACCGGUUAAGUCAAGACUUUUCAAGACCUCGUGAUGCAAUGCAACUCUGGGUGAAGGACGGUUGAUCGGCUCCCUGGAGAAACCAGUGGAUGACCCAGGAUGUUGGAGACGUGCCAUGACAUCUUACGGAAAGCUUCACCUAGGCUCAAAGAGACGGACAGAUAUUUUCAAGACCCAAGGCUUACCUGCACAGCCACAAGUCCUUAUGGGCUCUGGCUUGGUUGGUCAACGCGGCGACUCUGGACAGGCGGUGCCAGCAGAUGUAGAAGAACAGUAGGAUUUGGAUGCCCACCGGCAGGGAUUCACAGGGACCCGUUGAAAGACCAUGUUUUGAUCAUCCGGUCUUCAAACACACUGAAGUGCGAGGACAUACACGGAGGCGAUCAAAUCUUGUGGGGAACGUGUGCAAAACUCUGCAGAGUACUCAAACUUAAUCGAUUAGCCGUGUCCACGGUCAUGGACAACUUGAGCCAAAGGAACUGAAGUUAUCUGAAAUUCAACACAAAUAAUAAUACUGAUGUGCGUAUUAUUGACAACAUGGGUACGAGAAUUGGUUGGUGGAACCAUCUCGUUAACAACCAACAAUGUAGUAACAUUUUUCUUUUAGCCCUCUCUUGAUGUAGUAGAAAACCUUGCUUUUCGCUAAAAACUUACAGCCCCACCUGCCAUAUAUGCAUAUAGAAUAGAUGAUUACUUUUUCACCUCUCUCUUAUGUGACUUGCCGGCAUAUUCGAUAUGCUGACCUACACGGCUGCAACGUCUUAUGUUGCAUAUAUUUUUCUUCGACAAGUAAGAGUAUGAUUCAGGGUUACGGUCUACACUCAACCUGCCGUUGGUGUUUAUUGGGACUCCACUCCCUUUGACAGUUUCCGCUGAGAUUUUGAGGUAUAUAUCAGUUUUACAUUAUUUACAUGUGAUUGCACUUUGAUAUAUAUAUUGAUGUACUGUGUGUGCCAGCAUACUGAUCUAGGGAUGGCACAGAUACACAGAGGCUUGACUCGUUUUGAGUCGGGUCGCUACAAAAAUGGUAUCAGAGCACAUGUUGAUUGUAGGACGUGACCCUAGAAACUGGAAACUUCUUAGGAUAGGAUCUCUCAAAAAUCUUAUUUUUGGGAACACCUUUCACUUCUCAUCUCUUCUGAUUUCAUCAAAUGUUCUCUCUCACCUUAAAUAGUUAUACAAUCCCCUUACCCCUUUGACCUCAUGAAGAAUCAACGGAGUUCUACUUCAAAGUAAAGAGGAUUUCGACAUGCAUUUGAAGAAUUGAAGGUGCACCAAUGGAAGACUCUCAAGACUCGAAGAAUUCGAAGACCCUGAAUUGUUCUAAAAAUUAUAUGACCAUUAGAAGUCCAAACCCCUUUUAUAUACCCACGUUAGAUACGAUGAUUUGUGAGCCUUCAUUGGUGUGUGUUUUCCGACGGCCAUAAAUAAAACCUAUUCUCAAAAAUAUUUUUUGUAUUGUGUGUAUCUCCCUCCCUCUCAUACCCAUCUCAACCCCAAAACCUCAACCCUACCAGAUGGAGUAUGAAGCUGGAUUCGUAAUCUCUGGACUAAUGACCCAGCUGGAAGAUGAAAUAUGGAUUCAGAACAUGGAGAACCACUUCGGGAGCAAUUUUAUUUCAAGGAAGUAUGAAGUGGCACACGCUCUUUUGUACUUUAUACAAAGUGCUGCAAUCUGGUGGAAAAUGCAUCAUGCCAUACAAGGAUUUGGUGGAGCAGAAACUUGGGACGAAUUCCCGACUUAUUCAGAAGUGCUAUGAUAAUCCGAAGGAGAAGACUUGUGCAUGCAAAAUCUGUGGAAAAAUAGGACACACCCAGGAAGAACACAAGGAUGGAUGCACUCAUUGUGAAGAAAAUCACCCAGCUAAGGAGUGCCCAAGUAGUCAGGUGACUUGUUUCCUUUGUGAAGGAACCACCCACUACCCAGCUCAAUGUCACAUUUACCCCAAGGUACAACAAGUUGUCCAGCAGCAGAAAGAAGCAAUGAAGGAAACACUUAAGAAGAAGAUUCAAGAGCCGGUGAUGAACGAAAAUAUUGAAGACCUUGAUGGACAAGGUCUGACCAGAUUUUUCUCCAAUACAUGCUACUCAUGUGGAGAAGGGCAUUAUUCACAGGAUUGCACGAAGGGAAGCCAAGAGUAUCUGGGAAACUUCCCGACGGAAAAAGUGGAGUUUGAUCCCCUUGAAAUAGAAGAACUCGCCAAAAUAAAGGAGUCCAGAAAGAAAAAAAGGUACCCUCGGAAGAGCCAAAUCUCUGCAGAUAUAGACCUAAGUCAUGUCAGAUGUUACAAGUGUAUGGAAUUUGGCCACCACAAAUACAUGUGCUCAGGAAGGAAGCCGGAAACCCAAGGAGCAAAAGCAAACACUAAGACGUCUCGAGACUUGUUAGAACUCAUUUGCUUUCGUUGCAAGGAAGCAGGACAUUUUGCAAACGAUUGUCCACAAAGGAAGAAAGCUAAAAAGGAGUAGUUAAGUUUUGACCGCGGCAAUUAGUGUAAUCUGAAGAACUCUUGUUUUUCAUGAGAUCAUGGAGUGAAAUUUUUUGUAACAGAAGUCCCUGAGAUUGUAAUAACAUCAUGAAUAAAUGGAAUUUAUUGUCUCAUGAUUGCCUAUUUUGAAAUUGUAUGGGUUGUUUCUCUUCGAACAAAGAUCUCUGAACAAUUAUGAGGAUAUGAGAAAAUAUGGUCUAUACACGCUUGAGUAUAAUUCAUUUUAAGUGUGGUAGUAAUCGGUAAACCCACAGGAUCCACUGAGUAGGAAUGUACCAUAACUACCAAGGAGACAUAUACAUUCCUCUGAGUACCUAUUUACUGACACCUGCAGAUGACAACUUUCUACGAGUCAUUCCUCAAGGGCCCAGAAACGAUCAUGACCCUGACGAGUGGUCAUGAUUACCCAAAAAUCCUGAAGGACAUGAUGAAGCACAUUCAUCUUGAAGGAGAUGCAGUCUACAAAGGCUACCCAUUCAUGGAAAGUGGAGUAGAACUUUGGUAUGUGGAAGUACACCUCCACCAUGUGAAAGGAGUUUGUCCAAAGACUAUGGGGCAAUACUUUUUCAUUUCACAUGUACUACGAGCAACCUUCUUUGAUGUUGUUCGUGAAGCUGCCAUGGAAGCCAUACGCCAAAUUGGAGAAAUACUUGAAGCAAGACUCCGUCAUACCCAGGAAUACCAAAGUGAAGUGCAUGCGGAGGUGAUGGAGCUGAAGCUCGUGGCCACCAUGAGAAAGCAAAAGAUGGAUGAUUUCAAGGAACACAUUGGAAAGUUCGAGUGGAACUAAAGUAUCUACAAGGGAGACAAAAAAAUAAAGUUGGCAGAAAUGCUUGACCAUACCGAACAAGGUGGAUGGCAGCAUUUGUAAUAAAGUUAUUUUUGAAUUUGGAGUUUUGAGAAGAAAUGAAGGAUGUAAUAAAGGAUUGAAUAUGAAAUGAAUAUGAUUUAUGGAUGAAGCAAUAACUUUUAUGGUAAACACACCCAUGGAAAAAAAAGUAUCCCACAGAGUGGCGUGUGAACCAAAAAUAAGUUUGAGGAUUUUAUUAUAUGAUGGUUACCCCAAGAGUAGGAUGGAAUGAAAUACUAUAGGAUUUAAAGGCAGAGUAAUUCCAGGUAUGCCUGCAACCCACAGACCCCGGGACUAAUAAGGAUCAAGUACUACCUUUACGAAGAAAGAAACUUGGAAGAAGCUAUGAUGGAUCAACAAACUUUUUCUUAGGAGCACACGAAAACCUGAGAGUUGUGAAGAAAUGAUAGAUGUUUGUUCAGCUUGCAGAAUCAUUGGAUUUAUCCGAACUUCGUGGACAAGAGGAAUUCUGCAAUGCUUGUGAGGAUGCCCAAGUGUUAGAAUACGAGAUUCACUAAGCCUUGUACAACGUAAUGAUUUCAGUGCGACAUGGCUUGGCCACCAUGACGACUUACUAUUAUCAUUCUCUUGCUAUUCGGAAUGGUAAAUCUGAGAGACUUACCCAUAGUGAGAGACGACGUUCUUUGAAGCUUUUGUUUAAGCCUUAGAAUGGUAUAAGAAAAGCCCAUGUACAUGGCACUUGCUGUCCCGCGAAGGAAAUUUUACGGUGAGGAUGAAGAUAAGACCUCUCUCUCUGUAGGAUAACCACAAAUGGUAGACCACCAUGAGAAUCAUCGAUAUGUUAUUUAGAAUGAUCACGAGACUUGUCACUUAAGAAGAUCCAGUGCCGGAAGAAGCUUAAAUCCACGUAAGACAUCGUAUUCUGAGGGGAACAUUAUGAGUAUAAUGGAAGAUCAUCACCAAAGGAGUUACGAUGAAGAAUGUGACGAGCCAGAUGCCAAGACCCCAGAGGAUUGUGAAAAUUUUGAGGGACCGAUAACUCUCAUUUUAAGUGUGGUAGCAUCCCACCUUGCCGGAGGUUGGAUUUGUUAGAAGACCCCCAAACCCUAACCUUUCUUUCUAGCCUCUUCGAAUCUCGAGGACGAGAUUCAUUUUAAGUGUGGUAGGUUUGUUACAUCCCAAAUUUUGGAAUGUUAAUAUAAUUAUUAGGUUGAUUGUUUGUUUGUUUGAGUCAUUGAAACUUGAGUGAAGUUUGAAACUUUUUAAAAACUUUUGAAUGAGAGGGAAUAAAAUGAUUUUCCCCUUUUUCCUGUGAAUUCAAAUUCAUCCAUUUAAAAUCAAUGAUGAGAAGAUAGCAUGACUUCUUCAACUAUAAAGAAUUUGAAUCAAGGUGGCAUUGGAACUCUUUCGAUUUUUCUUUGCAUUUUGUUUCUUCCUCACUCACGGAAUGUCGGGAACCAUAUCUUGUCAAGCAAGAAAAAGAGAGGAGAAAACAUGACCCUCUAAACCCGGGGAUAUUCUUUAAAAUAUUUGAGCCAUGACACCCAAGAUUUAUUUGAGUAAUUAUUUGCAAAAAGAAAUAAAGCAUUUAGGGGAUUUACUGAAAAACAUUUUUUUAAAAGUUUUUAUUUCGGCCGUGGAAAAAUGUCCAUCAUUUAUAUUUUAUUUUUCUGAUAAUUUUAGUAUGUAGAAAUUAUAUAUUCCGAAUUUAUUUGGUAUCCCUUUUAUCAUUUACUUUCCGGUUUUUGUAAAUAUGAAACAGAUAUUUUUUAUUUGGAAAUAGAUCGGUGGCCCAUUAACACUCUCCAAAUCUGGCCCGACAGGAUCAUCUUCGUCCUCACGUUCUCCUACCUCACGUCACAGGAAACUUCCAUAGCCAUGGUGAGAGAAAUCUCCACCUUCCCGAUCUCCUUGCUCCUUCCUUCUCCGAGCACCCUCAGCCCCUAUAAAUACUCCCCUCAACCACCUCUCCCCAUUUUCCCAGUAGCCCAGCCCCUCCCCUCUUUGGAACGCAGCCCCCACCUCGCCGGAGUUCGCCUCCAACAGGAACUCGCCAGAGCUCUUGCUGCUCCCUCUCGUCGCCCCCACGCCCCGCCGGCACCACCAACCUUCGCCCGAGCCCUCCUCCAUCGCGUGGACCCCUCCACCGCCUUGUCCGGCCACCGAAGCAACCUUCCUGCCGUCUUCUCCAACUCCGAAGACUAACUCCGGUGAAAUUCACGAAAUCCCGUAUUGCAGUUUUUUCAGAAAAUUGCAAUCUUAGAAAAUUCAUAUCUAUUAGUCUAUAACUCCGAAUUAGGUGAUUCUUUUUGCAUUGGAUCACAAAUUUUAUUUAGUUUCUGUAGAUAUAUAAUUUGUCUAUGUUCGGAUAUAUAAAAUUUGAAUUAGAUCAGAUUUGGUUUAAAUCUUGUUUUGCUUCUUCUGGGAGUUUAAAAAUAGCUUUUAAUUUAAUUCUUUUUGCUUUUGUUUCCUAAUGAUCAUAUCUUUCAGUACUUUAAGUUUAAUUUUUUUUUUAAUAUUUGUACUUUGGGUUUUUACCAAAACAUAUUAUGUUUUAGUUCUUUUUGGAUUAUGGCUAUUUCUUUUUCUAUAAUUGUUUUCAAAUUAUUUUAUUUUAUAUUUCAGAAAGUUUAUGUUUAGUUUUUGUUAGUUAAACAGUAGGUUCUCAACAAGUUUUUAUUUUUAUUUUAUUUGUUAUCAUGAAAUCAAUUCUAGUUCUCUAAUAACUUGUAAUUGAUUUCUCUACUGUUUCAACUCUUAUUUGAAAAUACUUUCAAAAUAGUUUUAUGUAAAAUACUUUAUUUUAUCUUGGUUAAAUUUAUAUCUUAGUUCUCUGUUAUUUAAUGUUUUAUUUUCAGUUAGAACAAAAAAAACUAUUUAGUGUUUGAUGUAGUAGAAGACUCCUAGUUUUAGUUGAAGUUUUUUUCGGAUUCUUAUUCGCUCUCUCUUUUGUUUUGAUUGCUAGAAUGAUUGCUAGUAUGAGUGCUUACGUGAAUGAUAUGGUUGUUAUAUAGAUUUCAUCGGAGAGUGACGAGUACUCUAUCAAGUUAUUCUUUCGGAUUCUUAUUCGCUCUCUCUUUUGUUUUGAUUGCUAGAAUGAUUGCUAGUAUGAGUGCUUACGUGAAUGAUAUGGUUGUUAUAUAGAUUUCAUCGGAGAGUGACGAGUAGUCUAUCAAGUUAUUCCUCGAGAACGAAAAUUCUUCUUCGUCAACAUCACCAGGCAAGUCAUUUGAUCAUGUAUCACCUAUGUUUUAUGCAUCGUAGUUCUACCAUCCUAUGCCCAAUUGCAUGCUGAGUAGGUACUUGCAAAUAUUGGUUACAUAUUGUAGUAUCAUGUGGUAGGCACCCAACAACCCCGUUAUUUGGCCUGGGACGAAAAUUUCAUAUUGCUAUGCUUGAGUAGACGGGAUUCUGGUUGAGAGUUUAUCACGAGUGAUGCGAGAAUAAUUUAAUAACCAAGACCGGUUAAGUCAAGACUUUUCAAGACCUCGUGAUGCAAUGCAACUAUGGGUGAAGGAUGGUUGAUCGGCUCCCUGGAGAAACCAGUGGAUGACCCGGGAUGGUGGAGACGUGGCAUGACAUCUUGCGGAAAGCUUCACCCAGGCUCAAAGAGACGGAUGGAUAUUUUCAAGACCCAAGGCUUACCUGCACAACACAAGUCAUUAUGGGCUCUGGCUUGGUUGGUCAACGCGGCGACUCUGGACAGGCUGUGCCAGCAGAUGUAGAAGAACGGUAGGAUUUGGAUGGGCACCGACAAGGAUUCACAGGGACCCGUUGAAACACCAUGUUUUGAUCAUCCGGUCUUCAAACACCCUGAAGUGCGAGGACAUACCCGGAGGCGAUCAAAUCUUGUGGGGAACCUGUGCAAAACUCUGCAGAGUAUUCAAACCUAAUCGAUUAGCCGUGUCCAUGGUCAUGGACAACUUGAGCCAAAGGAACUGAAGUUAUCUCAAAUUCUCAACACAAAUAAUAAUAUUGAUGUGGGUAUUAUUGACAACAUGGGUACGAGAAUUGGUUGGUGGAACCAUCUCGUUAACAACCAACAAUGUAGUAACAUUUUGCUUUUAGCCCUCUCUUGAUGUAGGAGAAAACCUUGCUUUUCGCUAAAAACUUGUAGCCCCACCUGCCAUAUAUGCAUAUAGAAUAGAUGAUUACUUUUUUACCUCUCUCUUAUGUGACUUGCCGGCAUAUUCAAUAUGCUAACGUACACGUCUGCAACGUCUUAUGUUAUAGAUAUUUUUCUUCGACAAGUAAGAGUACGAUUCAGGGUUACGGUCUACUCUCAACCUGCCGUUGAUGUUUAUUGGGACUCCACUCCCUUUGACAGUUUCCGCUGAGAUUUUGAGAGAUAUAUCAGUUUUACGUUAUUUACAUGUGAUUACACUUUGAUAUAUACACUGAUGUACUGUGUGUGCACAGAUACAGAGAGGCUUGACUCGUUUUGAGUCGGGUCGCUACAUUGGGGAUGCUUGCUAAAGGUUCAACCAUAAGUGCAUAUGAUCUAAGUACGGAAAGUGUGUUAGCGUAUGUCUCUCCCUCAUUGCACAUAAUAAGUAUGUAUCAUGUUGUAUUCAAUUACCUAUGGACAAUCUUUCUCUUGCUUUACAUAAAAAGCAUUCUACUAAACAUCCUCUAACUUUUAUUUAUUUGCUCUUUCUUUUUCCGCAAAAUAGUUUCAUACUUGUUCUAGGUAAAGUAAGCGUUUGCGAGCGUACAUUUGUAUCGGUGGUUGACAGAACUUUAGAGAAUAUUAAUUCUAAAUUUAGCUCCUCAUUGGUCUUGACACUCUUACUUAUCGAAAAAUGCUUCAAAUGAUCCCCUACACGUGUCGGUUAUCAACCUGGUCGAAAUCUCAGAUGUGGGAGGUGAUAAAUUGUUGUGUCAUCUUGCACAACAUGAUCACUUAGAGCAAGCAGGAAGAGGGAGUGUUUGACAGUGAACCAUAUUUUAGGUAGGGUCCUCUUGUAGGUGUUGAUCACCACGUACCGACAACAUGGGGUGCCUUCCACGAUAUGCGCUAGGAGAUCCGAGAACCACAAGUGCAUCAAGAACUGCAGAACGAUCUGGUGGAGCACAUAUGGAGGCUUAAGGGCAGCACCUAGUUUGAUUUUUUUAAUUUAUGAUCGAAUUAUGAGCUUGUUGCAUUGAACUAUUUGUUUUGUAUUGAUUUUUGUGACAAACUUUGUCAUAAAAAUUUAGUUUUUAUUGAAUUUGUGCCAAAAGUGAGCCGAAUUUGGACAAAAAUGGGCCGAAUUUGCUCCAAAAUUGGGCCGAAAGCGUCGGCAGGGGGCUCCCUUUGGGGUCGGCUGGGAACCCGAGCCCCCCCCCUCGCUGAAUUUGGCGUCAGUUCGCCCCAAACCGGCGCUAUUUCAGGCCCUUGGGGGGCGAACAGGUGGAGAUGCUCUAAGAAUCUGGAGCACAACACAAAAGAGAAUUUAUGGCAUGCAACGACGGACCGACCUCUUUUUUCGCUUUGAAUUUUUUAAUGUUUCAUAUUCAUAUUUCUUGUGACGAGGACUUUCAAAUAAGGAUAAUUUUAAAUACGUUUUGACAAGCUAUUUUUUAGUUUCACGUGUUGAAACUUAAUACAAAGAACGAUAAAUUCCAUAAGUUUUAGGAACUUAAACUUAAAACUUCAUGUGCCCUCGUGUAAAACCCGAUGACUUUAUGAAGCAAUCAAACGACUGGGCAAGACUGCGCAGCUGCUAACCCCUAAGAAUUUCCGAGCAUAACAUAGGCAAAAGUAUUAAUGUUACCACGGUGGUAUAUUCGUGCGUUGCAUGCCUUCUGUUUUAACUACUUUAAGUUGACUUCCCUUGCUUUUUUGAGGUGAACUUAACUAUAUUAUAGAAGGAUUUAACUAUUUAAAGAUGUGAUGACUUGUUAAGAAUAUAUUGGACUCCUUUAAAAAGGCAUGCCAUAGGGUUUUUGGAGGAUUUAGGGCGGAUACUCGUCGGUCCAGCUUCACCAGCUCCGCGCAUGAAGUGGUAUCGAACGGCCCGGCUCCGUACAUCCAACAUUGCGAGGACAUGCCACCCCCCCCCCGCACUAUAAAACCUGGAAACAAGUCAAACCGAGCUCCGAGAAGCAGAAAUAGUGGAAAUGUGACUGAUGAGUGAAAGUUACGGAUCCGAAACAGGCGAUUCCUCUUCCCCGAGCUGUUCAUCUCCCUUAUCGUUGGAUGAUACACCACUCUAAUGAUAGAGGCCGUCGCCGCUAGCCCACGUCGAUGCCAUCACCGGUCGUUUGUCUGCCACGAGAGGUCCUCCAUCCCGCCACUUUAUUGCUGCUAUAUGCCCUAGAGGAAAUAAUAUUGUAUUAUUAUAUUUCCAUAUUAAUGAUUAAGAGUUUAUAUUCUAUGUUAUAACUGUUAUGAUUAUGGAAUAUGCGAUUCAACGAAAAAAUCAUAUGCACAGAUGGAAUGACAAACGGUUAAAUAAAGGUUACUAGUCUCACCUCUAAGAUUAGCUUAAGUGUGGUUGGUGAUCAUGUUUUUCGGAUCUUAGGAUAUUAUAAGUGUAACGAUGAUCCUAAAAAAAUUGACAGUACGACGUUAGAAGAACGAUCAUAUUGAAUCGACCCAAACUUGUUUCUUAUACUUUUAGAUAAUACAUUUCGAGAUCAAUUAUUAUAACAUUUGUUUUGUGUUCCUUAGACCAUGAGAGUAUUGUAGUCAAUUCUUAUCAUACAAUGAGCUUUGGGGUUGCUCAGACAUCAUCUAUAACUAGGUGAUGAUAACUACAACUUACAUGUUCAUCAGAAAGUUUGACAAGGGACUGGAUAGCUCGAGAGUUGGACUUGCUCCUCCAAAAAUGGAGAGAUAUUCUUAGGGCCCACUCGGUGUGAUGACAUUAAUAUCGUCUAGCCACACACAGGUGACUAUGUCAUGGGAACACAAGAAGACAUCAACGAGAAAGAACAACAAAACCAGUAAUGAGGGUAACGGUAUAAUGAAUAUGUGGAUGGCUCAGGAGGAUACCGAUGAUUCUCGGGUGUUGUAAUGUAUCGUCCAGCAAAGUGAAUGUCACAUGAUAACCGAUGUUUCACUUGAGUAUCAUUUAUGUACUCAUAGAGAUCGAUAUGGACGUCCAUGAUUCGGGAAUCGGUCAUCGAAUGUAGGAGUUUCGUUCAUGUCUAUGAAUUAUCAAACCUAUAGAGUUAGAAGCUUAAGGUAUACAAUUUUUUUGAGUGUUAGGUCAAGUGUCUCAAGGAUUUAUUUUCUAAAUUGUUUUAUUAAUGUCAGAAUAGUUUCAAGAGGAUCCGGAAGCGUUUCGGGGACAUCAGAAGGGUUUUGGUGAAUAUCGGGUAAUACAAGGUUUUAUCGAUAAAAAUAAUUUAGGUGAACAAUAUUUCCAAGGAUGUUAAAUUAUAUAUAAAAUGGUCUGAAAUUAUUUACAACAAUUUUAUACUUUAUUUAGUAUAAAUGGGCCUUAAAAAGCCAAGACGUGGAAGGCAACUUGGGCCACAAGGGCCCAUGUGGGGAAGGCGCCACUUCCCUUAGGAUGGAGGGUGAAUAAGAGUGGGGGGAGGGAGUCGAACUGCUCCUCCCCUUUGACCGGCAAUCCAAGGAGAGUUUCCCUCCUUGUUGGCUACCUCUCCCUCCCCCUAUAACCUAUAUAUACUUGAGGUAUUGGCCCAUCUGAAGAUACACAAAUUUUGGAGCCUCCUCCGAUUCUCUAGUUCUAGUUCUAGUUGUUCCUAGUUGUGUAAUUAGUGUUGGGUCUAGAUUCUCUAAUAGUCAUAAUUAUAAGACCGGUGUGGUUCUAAUUUCCUCCUUCUUAUUCUCCGGCAAUGAUUAGCUCUGGAGGAUGAAGCGCUACCGGAUCAUGCAGACUGUAUGAUUGCAAUCUGUAGAGAGGUCGUGCUUUCGGUCUUACGUUUGAGGGACUAAUCAUGGGCGGUUCGCAUAAUCAUUCAUCUACAGUUCGAGGGACUCCAAGUUCGAUCUUCAUCGUCACACUCUUCUUCCACUGCAACUCGGUGAAGGUAAUGAUCGUGAUCCUAACCAUUCUACUAUGUUUCCCAACAGUGGCAUCAUGAGUGGUUCUAUUAGUAGAUACAGGGAUUGCUGUUCUUGUUAUGCUUCCCUCAAGUGUUUCUUCAGUUCACUUCAUUGACGGUAUGAUGUGGCUUUAUUAAAAGUUCUGACAAUCGAACGGCUCUGGCUGUUGAAGAUCUGCUAACACUUCUUGGUCCUCAUCAGAAUCAAGAAUAGUGAAUUAUCAUGUACACAAGAGGGUGAUGAAGAUGUAUGAGCUUCUAGGGGGUCACACAUACUCACAAGUUUUAGUGUUGGUCUAGAGAUUAUAAUUAAGUCUCUUCCCUCACACACCCCAAAACUUAAUCUAGGAACAAGGACUAUCGCCUUAAUGGUGGACGUAGGUAGCUAGUGUUAUUCGGAAACCCUAGAAACCACGUAACUAAAUUUGCUAAAUUGAUUAGAGGUCGUCUAAUUUGGUUUUGCAGGAUUGCAUAUGAUGUGGUAUAGCCUUCGUCAUGAUAAUGAGUUUAUGUAUGAUAUGGUUAUACGUUGUAACAUUAAGAGCCUUUUCUUCAUGGCAUGAUGGCUGGAGCCACAUGAUUGCCAUGUUAGAGUAAAUCUCGUAGAUAUAGCCUACAUGUUACAAGCGACAAUGGCAAGUGUAAAUGGAAAACCCCUACAAGGAGAAGGUGUACUAGGCGCGGAAUGAGGAGCUAUAAAUUUCAUGCCACGGUACAAUUUCUUAAUUUGGUGCCAUGGCAACGUAUUCUAAAAUAGUCGCCACCACAAAAUUUUCUGAAAUAACUGGCAUGACAACGUUUUUGAAAGAGUUGCCACGACAAUAAAAUAUAGGGCGUCACGACAAUUAAAUUCAAAAUUUAAGAAGGUCAUGGAGGAUGCCUAGCUCCCAGGACCAUAUGAUAUCAUGCUUUGAUGAAAUGCCUCAGAUGUUUAUCCCUUUUAUUGUUUGCACCCUUUGAUUGCGAAGUAGUCAAUUACUAGGGUGAUCUCCCACUAAAAAUACCAAUUAGCACUCGGUUAUUUCCAAUGUUAUUUCCAAUGUUGCGACCAUCUAUAACACGUAGCUUUCUGGAUUGCAUCAUGUCCACAUGAAUACAAACGGAUCGUGAGGUGUAAGACGGGCAAGGUCAGACCAAGCAAGCAAAUAGCACUCGGUUGUCUUGAAGUUUUGGCAGAAUCAUUCUGAGCUCGGAGCACAAAUCAUCGAAAGAUGAACAACUGUCAAUUAUGAGAGAUAUUUAUUUGAGUGGGAGCAAAAAUAUGAAUUCAUAAAGUUUAAUCACUAGUGCAAUUAAUUAUAAAUAAUGUCUAUAUGUAGUUUGCAUUAUAGUUGUAGAAUAAUAGCUCACAGUUUUACCUUUUCUCUUGAAAUUGAUAGGUAUUUUUAUUUUCUGGUUGAAUCUUUAUGAUUGGUAAAGGUAAUCAGAGGAUCGUUUUCUAGAGUGCCAAAAAUAUUUUUUGCUAUUGCAUACUUAGAAUAUUCUCCAACUGAAGAUAUUGUCGAUGAGACUCACAUCCUUCAGUCCAAAAGGUUAUAAUCCUAUUAGGGUCUACUUGCAUCCAAGAAACAUGGACUUAAAAAGGUUUAGGAUAGUUAUGUGAUAAUCUUGAAACUAAAAAUUGUAUUCAGAAACAAACAAAGAUUAUAAGUUAUGUGAUAUCUAAAGAAGUGUUUUGUUUGCAAGAUAUAGUGAAGUGUUCAACUAUUUUUAAGACUAAAAUACACAUGACCGAGAAGAACAAUGGUCAUGAGUUGAUGGUGAGUACUUAUGACAUGUUUCUCGCAUACAGAGAAAAUGAAGAGAUUGUGCAAGGGAUUACAUUAAUACAUGCUCGAUGUAAGUAGUAGAUCGACAAAAUCUUCAUUGAUGCUCGAAGCAAUUUUUUAUUUAUAUUAAAUGAUUUAUGGUGGCAUGGUAAGUUGGAAUUGGUCCAAUAGAGUUACUGUGGUGAAUUCUAUAACACAGGGNNNNNNNNNNNNNNNNNNNNNNNNNNNNNNNNNNNNNNNNNNNNNNNNNNNNNNNNNNNNNNNNNNNNNNNNNNNNNNNNNNNNNNNNNNNNNNNNNNNNAUCCGAGUGGAUUUUGCAUUUGUGGCGCAUCCCCAAACAAACGGGCAAGCAGAGCGGGCGAAUGGGCUUAUUCUUCAAGGGUUGAAGCCUCGACUCCUGCGAGAAGUUGGACAUGCCGCCGGCGCAUGGGUCACCGAACUGCCUUUGGUGUUGUGGGGCCUCCGCACAACUCUGAAUAGAUCUACAGGGCGAUCCCCGUUCUUCCUCGUUUAUGGAGCAGAGGCAGUCCUUCCGAGUGACUUGCUUCACAACUCUCCACGGGUCGAACUCUUCUCCGAAGCUGAAGCAGAACAAGCGAGGCAAGACGGAGUGGAUCUUCUAGAAGAAGAGCGCGAGAUGGCACUGACUCGCUCAACAAUUUAUCAACAAGAUCUGCGGCGUUUUCACGCACGGCACGUCAGGAGUCGCGCAUUCCAAGCAGGCGACCUGGUGCUCCGAGUGGAUCAGCACAGACCUCACAAGUUGGCUCCCGCGUGGGAAGGACCCUUCAUCAUCUCUAAGGUGCUGAACAACGGGGCAUAUCGACUCUACAACCUCGACAGGGAAACGGACAAGCCGCGAGCAUGGAAUGGAGAUCUCCUGAAACGCUUCUACAUGUGACCGCCGACGGAGACAAUGUAAAGAACAAGUAUCAUUGAAGUAAUACAAAGCAGAUUGAUUUCUUGCAAGUUCAAAAUUCUUCCGCGUUUGCAGACUCCUGUCUAAAAAACUCACUCCGAGUGUGCACUAAAAGCCGCACUCGGGGACUUAGCUGCGAUCCAGAAUCGCCUAAGUACAAACUCGCUCCGAGUGCGCACUAAAAGCCGCACUCGGGGACUUAGCUGUGACCCAGAAUCGCCUAGGUACAAACUCGCUUCGAGUGCGCACUAAAAGCUGCACUCGGGGACUUAGCUGCGACCCAGAAUCGCCUAAGUACNNNNNNNNNNNNNNNNNNNNNNNNNNNNNNNNNNNNNNNNNNNNNNNNNNNNNNNNNNNNNNNNNNNNNNNNNNNNNNNNNNNNNNNNNNNNNNNNNNNNAAUGCGGCAAGGUGGGCUAUCGUGUUCGGAGGAAAAUGAUGGAGCUGCGCCCCGAAGUGAUUCAUAAUACCUCUGAAGAAGGGGUGGGGAGGCAGGGAGAAACCCCUGAACACGUGGCUGAGCAGCAGGACACGCUCCCCCUCCAUCGGCGCCGGCUCCGUCUCGCCCUCCGCCGGCAGCCUCCAUGACUUGUUGGCGAUCAUGUCGUGCUCCACUAGCUCCAGCAAGUCGUCUGCCGUCAUCGUGGAGGGGUGGAAAUCCCCCUGGAUCCAACCCGCUGGCAGUGCCCGCUGUCGCCGCUGAGCAGGGGCCGCCCCCUUCUUCUUCUUCUUCUGCGACUCGAGUUUGCUGGUCUGCCCCUUCGUCAUGGUGAAGGCAACAGAUCCACAGAGGAGGAGAGGAAGGAGGAGGC